CCAAGUUUCAUCUUUUUCGAUGCUUCCGUAGCAAGAAUGUAACUACCGACAGCCCUAAGUUCUGAUUCUCCACUGUUUGGUGGAUUUCUCAGUUAAAAUAUUAACAGUAAUUGUUGCAUGUUAAAGCCCUGUUUUUUUUUUCCUUUUCUGCAUAGCAUUUAAAUACAAAGAAGCUUGUAUUAGAUCACAAAUGAACAGGCCAAAUGAAUGUAUAGAAAUGAGCUGGCCAAAUGACUGAUAAGCCUACCUUGUUCUUCAAGCUAAUUAAUAUCUCCAGAAAAAUCUGCCCGGGUUACUUACUUUAGUCCGGUUCGCACCUGAAAUAAGACCAACCGAACUUGAAAAUUACAUGGAAGACAAUUCAAUAUGCAAAUCCAAGGAUUAUAGGUAAGUUUUUGGUCGGAAUUUUACACACUUAUACUGCACUUGAAGUCAUUCAAAUGUCACAUUUGCUCAAAAUAUAGAUAGAGCACGAGUAAUGAAUCAAAAGGCUGGAUGAAUCACUAAUCUGACCGGGAAAAAAGUGGAAAGAUGUUUCUUGACAAAAAUGUAGCUCCGAAAAGGGCCUUUGGCCCAUUGAUAAGACGCCAUCAGUACAAAUGUGACACUAGUUUUAGCUUAUAGUUCAAAAAGGAUACCUUUUAACCUUCCAGCAUUGUACAAAGCCUCUUCCGCGAUGGGCCUCCAUUGCUCCGCACAUGAGUAGUUGAUUCCGAGACCAACACUAAGUCCUCUUAGAAGAUGAACCGUACGAAGAACAGAAAACAAUUCCUCUGGAAAAGACUGGCAUAACCAAGAAAAAAGAAUUCACUAUAAUCACAGGAAACAAAUAGACAAUUUUUUUUUUUUUUUGAAGAGGUUACAUGCACAAUUACAAUUACAAUCAAUACAUCUGAAUAACUACAGCCAAAAGCAAAUUAGAAAGCACAACCUGACUGAUGAUCGGAAUAUAUCCAGACCUAGUCCAAAAUCAAUUAGGACAGAGCUCACACAUGGUGGAACAUAAACCAGAAAAAAUCUAGACUGACAACCCACACAUGGAUAACAUAGGGUGGGACCCAAAUCUAGAAUCUCAAAGUUUCCGGGAAUUCAACCUUACCAUUAAGCCAAAGGCGAACAAAUAAACAUAAAUGCUAAAUGAAGGGACAAAUCUUGUAAGAAUGAGUACUCUGAAUAUCAUCAAACAGUAAGAACGAACAAUGAUCAGCUCCCUUACCUGUACACCGAUUUUUUUUAUGGAAGCAUCUUCUGAGAAUGGUUGCAACAUUACCACUCCUGGGGGUAGUUUUGUAUCAAACAUCGUCUGUGCCAACCGAAGCAUUUCCUGUUGUUCAUUCUUACAGUUGCUUACAGUAUCUAUCCCAAGUUCCCUAAAAGCAAAUAUAAGAAAAUUAAAACCAAUUAGAUAUUGAAAAAGUUAAGGAUAACAACGUCAAACCAACAGCUACUAAAGUUAUUCAUAGAUUCAUGUUGACCAUCCUGCAAGUUGCCUAUUAUUCUUAUUCUAUGCAACAGAAAUGACACAACCCGGAAUUAAGUUCUGUUUUUGUCUGGUCAACCAACUGAAAUUUGUAUUGAAAGGUUACUAAAAGCAUAGAAACACCUAUAGCUUUCUGUUGCUUUUACAGGAUUACUAUCAGCCAUGGCAAGAACCAAAUCAGCAAAUCCAACCUCAACUGGUCUGGUAGAUCCUUCACUUGCCCGUAGUCUAGCAAUGCAACCUGACUUAAGCAGAAAAAGCAAAAUGAAAUAGUCGCACAAUCAGCAUGGAGAGUUUGAAAGUUACAACUAACAAAGCUCAAUUCAAUCAGAAGUAUGCUAUAUGGAAGAUUAUAAAUGAAUAAGAAUUGGAAAAUGUAGAAAUCCAAAGCUAAUCCCUACGAUUUUUAAGGAUUAGUUUCCCUAGUUUCCUUGUUCGAAUAAAGAAAAUAGGAAGGUUCUCCCUAGAAUUUUUCUUCUUUUUUUUUUUUUAGAGAUUUAAUUUGAUUGUAUCUCAAUAUGAGGGAUUUGAUUAUUACUAGAAUUAAGAAAGAACUAGUGACAAACAUGUCACUUUGUCCUAUGAAUUCUAGCAGCUUCAUGUUUAUGGAAUAAGAAAAUUAGAGGGUUAAAUCACUUUUUAAGGCUUGAAUUAGCAACUUUUUCCACAUUGGAGUCUGAACUAUUUUUACCCAAGUUAGACCCAGAACUUGACAACUUUUCUCAUUUGGUGCCUGAACUUUUUUUAUUCAAGUUAAACCCUAAACUUGGCAAUGGUUCCCACACUGGGGCUUAAACCUCUUUUGUCCAAGUUAGUUAAAAUAAAGUUCAAGCCCUAAUGUGUAAACAGUUGCCUAGUUCAGGCCCCAAUGUAGGAGCAAUUGCUAAGUCAUAAAUUGAACGUGAAAAUGUUGAUAGCUUGCUAACAACACUGACAGCUUAGGCAGAUAGAUUCGUAACAGCCUAGCUUGACCAAAUGGCAUGAUCUUAGUAAUUACUGAUUAUUAGGGACUUUUGAAUUAUGUACAACUUACUAGUUACCUUAGAUAGGCCUAGAUUGCUUGUAAAUGUAUUUUUCCACCUCAAUUCAAGAGUAAGAAUCAGUUUUAUCUCUAAACCUUUUUCUAAAUUUUGAACUCUCUUGAAAAUACUCAGGUUUAUUCAUGGUAUUGGUGCUAUAAUUCCAUAUUUAGAGGUCCAAUUUUGAAUUUUUAAGAGACUCUUAAACGCUAGAAUUCAAAAUUUUGGUACUUGCACACUUAGCCCGUGCUUUUUAUUCUCACUGCCACCUAUAAGAGAUCCUUAGCCUUAUUUUUGGCAAAACUCAAAAGUUCAGCAGCCUCUCUCUUUGUGCUUCAGUCUCACACGCUGCCAAAAGGAUUUUCACACUCAUCCACAUGCCAGCGCAUGAAGCACACCCCCUAGAGGUGGUCUUUCCAAUUAUCGCUGUUGACUUCCUUGGAUUAUUUCCUUGGUUUUUCCAAUUAAUAUAAUUUUUUUGUAGCAUUUAAUUUGAAUAUACAUCAUAAAUGAGAAGAGUGGAUUUAUAAUUUCUCACCAAUGGGCUUUUGCAAAAGCCAAAACCUGGAUUUCUAGCUUUUUGGUUUGGCUUGAAAAGCUAGUUUGAAGGUAAAAGUUAGUCAUUUAGCAAUUAACAUUGCUUAUGAGUCGAAAAGCUGAUUUGGCUUGAAAAGCAAGUUUGAAAUGCAAUGCUAAACAAAGCUUUAAUAUUAUUUCGGUUUUUCUAUCUCUAGCAACCAAUCUAGACUGGCCUCUUCAUUGGUUAGAUGUAAAAAAUGUUUUUUUUCUCAAUGAUGAAUUGGAAGAAGAAGUGAAUAUGGAAAUCCUAUCGGGCUUUGAUACAGGAGGCAAUGCAACCAAAGUCUGUAAGCUUAGAAAGUCUCUCUACGGUUUCAAGCAAUCUCUUAGAGCAUUGUUUGACAAGUUCACAAAUGAAAUUAACAAUUAUGGGGUAUUCCCAAGGUCAAGCUGAUCAUACCUUAUCCACAAAUUUCUCUCCUAAUGGAAAAGUUGCUAUUUCAUUGUUUAUGUUGAUGAUAUUAUUGUUGCUGGGGAUUAUACUAAAGAAAUCAACUACCUAAAAGAAGUACUUGCUAAGGAGUUUGAGAUCAAAGACCUAGGAUCAUUAAAAUAUUUCCAAGGUAUGAAGGUUGCGCAUUUAGAGCGAUUUGAUUAUUAUAAUUGAGGAAACAGUGGCAAACUUGUUUUCAUUUUUCUCCCUUGAAUUCUAGCAGUUUCAUGUUUAUGGAAUAAGAAAAAUUACAGAGUUUUUCUCUUUGAAAUUCUUCAUCUCUCAAUUCUACUUCAUCUUUGCAAUUCUACAGAAAGAAGUUUAUAAUAGAACUUAAAAUCUUAAAAGAAAAAAGACAGACAACUCACCUCUGAACCUUUACAGAUCAGUAUAUUUCCGGGAUGGGGAUCUGCAUGGAAGAAACCGGUCUUUAGUAUCAUCUGUCCAUAAGCUAGUGUCAAACUCUUAAGUAUAUUCCUGCAUUCACAAGAGUUACUUAAGAUAAAUGCAGUAGAGUAUAGCUGGUACAGUACGACCAAAUGAGACAAGAGACCCAAUAGUCUCUUUGGUAUUUAAGAUGCUUACUGCUUUGCUGAAGUUGCCAUCUUACCACCAGGAUUUAUUCCUCUUUUAUCCAUUUCAUCACCAAGAUUCAAGAUUGGGACUCCGUCGAUAUAGUCCAUCACUAAAACCCUCCUGUUUAAACAGGUAAACGUCGCAUUACUGAAAUGACAGCACUGUAAUGAAGCAAUAAAACAAGAAAAAAAAAAACAAUAUAAAAUGCAUCAUCAAGAAAACAUGAAGAAAAAUAGACAUAAAUACAGAAGGAGCUGAGAUCCGUAAUCCCUUUGUCUCAAAAGCCAUUCCUCUUUUCUUGCUAAAGAAUGCAGCUUGAUAGUCUAUCAACUGUAUUAUUGUCCUUCCAGGAUCCCAAUACCUUUAACUAAAUAGGUAAAACGUUACAUGGUUUAUCCAUCGUUGAAAAAAGCGAAUAGGAGGUCAAACCGGUUGGACUAUCUAUUUCUGAUUUUUUAUGGUUCAGUCUUUAAAAUUUUCCAAUUCAACUUAUAAAGUUGAACUGCCAAACCAACAGAUUCCUGGUUCAACCUGUUGAAUUAGCCGGUCUGGUUUUUAAAGCCAUGGUUUUGUUUAAAAAGCUAAAAUAUUUUAAGGGUCAAUGAUGCAACAUUAACCUGGAUAACAAACCUCAUUACUCUACAUCGGUACAGCCUUUAUGCUUGUCUAUCGAACCAAUAAAGACAACACCAAGUCCUAAACUACAACAUGUAAUGCAUUUUCAAACAUCUUUUCCACAUAUCCUUGGAUAGUCCUAGGACAAACCUGUACAAGCAAUAUGAAGAAUUACAACAAAAUGAACUUGCCUUGUAGCCAAACCCCGAAGCACUCUUGGAACCAGGACCGGAGUCUUUUUGUUAUUCUCGUAUAAGAAACGGCGAAUUCUCUCCAUAGCAUUGGCUUCUCUUAGAAAGUCAAACUCAUAUCUGAUCUUGACAACAGAAAGGAUAAAUAAUUAACGACAUGCAGAAGAACAAAGAAAUCCAAAUCCAAGUGGAGCGAUACUCUCACUUUACAUAAUCUGAAAAGUACAUAAAACAAGGAUAGAUGUGUUUUGCAAGGAACAUCAGUGUGAAUACAGAUACCUGUUUUUCCAUUUCCUUGGUAACGGAAAACAGAUCAAAUUUGAUAUCAGUCUUUUGAAUGUACAGUGCAAAUGCUUGCAAGUUACGGAUGUCGGUCAUCAUAAGAUCCAGGAUUCCCGGAUGUUGCACCUGCCAUAAACUUGAAUGGUCAAAAUCACAUGGACAUAUGAGGCUUUAAAAUCAUUUUCAAGGAGACUUACCUUAACAACAACAUCGUUCUUAUCACCUCUCAAUCUUGCUCGAUGAAUCUAAUUCAGAUACGAACAUAUGUUAAGGUAUAUCCAUUCGGUUCUUGUAAGCAUUAUCCUAUUUCCGGAACCCGAGAACCCCACAAAACUGUUAAACUUUAUGGUAGCAAUAAAAAAGCAAAUGUGCCAUAUCCUGCUGUAUGUUGGCAAGCAUGAAGCUUAUUUAAUGAAAAUGUUCAACCUUCAAAGAUUUUAUAUGUUUAAAUACAUAAAUCUAUACCCUUCCCAGCAUGCUCAUAUAAAACUUCAAGCCAGGUAAAGAAAUGAAAAAGUAAUACCUGCGCAAUCGAUGCUGAACCGAGAGGAUUUACAUCAAAAUUCUCAAAAAUUUCACUGAUGCUUCGACCAAACUCCUCCUCUAAAACAAGUUGAACAGCAUCAAAUGGUGUUGCUGGGGCUUGAUCACACAAAGUAACAAGCCUUUUCACCCAUGCUGCUGGGGCUAGGUCCGGUUUUCCAAUAAUCUGAGCAAUCUAAUUCAAUUCAAGCAUCCACCAAGCAAUUAAAACAGACAACAAAUUACAAUAUAUCACCCUACCGAUGAACAACAUCCAUGACUCGAUUAUUGGGAAUAAAAGUAGGUAAAAGUUCCAUGGAGUCCCUUGUAUUAUGAGUCAGAUUGAAUUUUACCCCCUCUACUAAAAAAGUAGGCAAAUUAGUCCCUAUACGUUAGAUCAAAGAGCAAACUAGUCCUUUUGUUAAAAGUUUCAUCCAUUUCUGUUAAAAAUUGGUCCUUGUACGUCAACAUAAGGCACACGUGGCACACCAUGUGUAUUUGUCUGGUUAUUCCGUUAGCCACGCCAGUUUUUAAUAGUAGAAAUGGAUGAAGUUUUCUACAGAAAUGAUCAAUUUGCUCUUUGACCUAACGUACAAGGACUAAUUUGCCCAUUUUUUGAGUAAAGGGGGCAAAACGCAAUCUAACUACUAGUACAGGAGUCUCCAUGAUAUAUUUACCAAUAAAAGUAUUCAGUACCAAAGUGAAAAGGGAAAUAUCAGUAAGUAAAACAGGAUUUCAAAAGGAACAUAAACAAAUUUGAAUAUACAGGUAAAAUUCAGUCUUUAAUUGAACUGAAAGAACACAAAAAGCAAAUGCUGUGCAGUUUGCCAAUAGCUAAGAACAGUAAAAUCAACAAAAGGAGCAAUCAAUAAGAAUCAAACAGUACAAAAAAGAGUAAAAACAAACAAACCCAUUUAAAUUUGAACUGAAAGAACACAAAAGCAAAGACUGUAAUUUGCAAAGAGCUAAGAACAGCAGAAUCAACAGAAGGGGCAAUCAAUAAAAAUCAAACAGUACAGAAAAAGUAAAAACAGACAAACCCAUUUUAAUUGAACUGAAAGAACACGAAAGCAAAGACUGUAGUUUAAAGAACUAAGAACAGCUAAAUCAAUCAAUAAGAAUCAAAUAGAAAAGAAACUAAAAAACAGAAAGAAACCCAAAUUUGAACCAUUUUCAAACCAAUCAAUGUGUAUACCUUAAGGAAAAACCCACCAAGAUCAUAACACAUAGCGUAAAUUUUAUCAGCAGCAAGCUCAUGUUGUUUAUCCCACAUUGCUUGUUUCUUUUGUGGAUACUUCACCAAACUCACUCGAAGUUGAAACACCUAUCAUUUCAACAAUUACCCAACAAUCAAAAACUAUCAAAUUAAGAAGAAGAAGAAGAAGAAGAUAAAGAAAGACCUUAUAGCCAGUAUAAAUAUCAGCUGCUCGAACCCAGAAUUGAAAUGAACGAUGCCAAGGUCUUAAAUGAAGAGAAACCUUGUCUUGAAUCUCUUUGAAAUCAUAACCAAAAGCCAAUGCAUUCAUUUUAAUUUCCCUCAAUUUUGGGGCUUAUUAGUAAUUGUAACUGAUGAAUAAAGUAAUGAAAAAAAAAUCAAGGAAUAUGGUUUUUGAAUAACAUAAAAGAACUACGAGCUUGGGUUCUUAUUACGGGACCCUUAAACAGUAAAACUUUACAUAGACAUGAAAGGGUGAAGUAGAAGCAACAGCAAUUAGUUUAAGGGUUAAAAUUGCCUAUAGUCCUUGUACUUUUCAUAAAUUAGAAAUUUAGUCCUUGUACUUUUAUUUUAGGAAUUAAUUUUUAUACUUUUCAGAUUUUAAAAUUCAGGUUCAAUUGUUAACAUUGUUUUAUUUUUUUUAACUUGUUGUUAUGAUAUUUUGAAAUACAAAAAUUACUCACUUAAUAGUCAUGUAAUUAAAUAAGGAUGUUAUAAUUAACUUCAAUUUAACCAAAAAAUUUUAAUAGUAUUAAAAGUUGAUGGUUAAUUUUGAAAUCUGAAAGUAAAAUGGCUAAAUUCCUGAAAAUACAAUUAUAAAGACUACAUUUCUAAUUUUAGAAAAGUACGGGACUAUAGGCAUAUUUUAACCUUGGUUUAAGCUAUAAACGUGGCUGAGAAAGCGAAGAAAGUGGGAUUCGGGGUGACCAUUUUUGCUUAUUGCAAUUCGUGAAAGGGUUAAGACCGGUCUACUUCUUCCUUGUCUUUCAAGGCUUUGCUUUUGGAUGUACUUCUUUGUUUUUUCCCAAUCAAAUAGACCAAUGGGGACAGUUAAUAGUGACAAGCGACAAUCAAAUGAAAAGAAAAAAAAGAGAGGAAACUCACCAUUAGACACUAAAUUAUAGGUAACUUUUCAUUUUGGUCAUUUAACUUAAAAAAAUUACAAUUUGGUCAUUGAACUAAUUGAAAGUUUUCAUUUCAGUCAUUAGGUUGUUAAAAUCAGUACGACCUUCUUUGUUUGCACCAAUCGAAAACUCUCAUUUCCCUUCUUUUCUACAAUUCAAUCUUUUUUUCAUAAAAUAGCUUUGAAUGUCACAAAUUUGCGAACCAAAAUACAAAUAGUUUUCUUCUCUGAUCUCUAGCAUUGACUGUCAAAUCGACUUGGAUUUAAAGUAUUUUUUCUACUUGUUGAUGUGUAUUGAUCGACUGUAUUGAUCGUCAAAUCGUCGCUUGGAGUUUGCUACUCAAACUUUAAAAAAAAAAACUAACAAUCCAAUGAUUUAAAUAAAAACUUUUGAAUAGUUCAUUGACUUAAAUUAAAAUUUUCAAUUUGUUCAAUGACCAUUUUGUAACAUUUUAAAGUUAAAUGAUCAAAACGUAAAAGUACUCAUAAUUUAAUGACCUUAAAUGUAGUUUACCCAAAAUAUAAUUAGGAGACAACAUUCUUUUUUUUACCAUUUUUUUAUUAAACAGACUUAACUAAUUAUAAUCUACAAAGAUCGACUCAAUCAAAUUAAAGUUCAAGAAUCAACGUAAUUGAACUAACUUUUUGUUGAUAAGUUUGGUUGGUUAAUUAACUUUAGCUGACUUUAGUUAUUGGGCUUAAAUAAUAUAUAUUUAUUUUAUAUAUUUUUUAAAAAUAUUUUAAAAUUAAAUUACACUAUUAGUCCUUAUACUUUACAAAAGUUGUGGAUUUAAUUAUUGUACUUUAAUUUAAACAACUUUAAUCCUUAUACUUUUUUAAUCAGUCAAUUUUAGUCCCUAUACUUUUCAACUUCUGAAAUUUUAGUCAUGACUCAAACCGUAGCAGUUAAAUCUAUUCUGUUGAGUUCAAUUACUGGGCAUAUACUAUGCAUACAAUUACAUAUUUAAUCCAUAUUAUUCAAUUGGAUCAUUUAAAAUUGUCAUACUUUUGAAUUUUGAAAUUCCAGCCUUUAUACAAAUGACAGUUGUUAACCCAUUAAUUAGAUUUUUAGUAAGUAAUAUGUGAAAAUAACAAGUUGACAUGACGUUACAUAUGUGAUAACAUAUUUACCACAUCAGUUUUAGAAAUAGCAAAACUUAAUAAAUUUAACAAUUAUUGUUUGGUGAGGAUUAAAAUUUGAAAAUUUGAAAAAUAUAGGAACUAAAACUAAUCAAAUUAAAUACAUGGAUUAAAUCCACAACUUUCAAAAACUACAAGGGCUAAUAGAAAAAUAUAUCCUAUUUUAAAUAAUCAAAAGUAUUAAAUUAAGUCAGGUUUUUUCGGUCAAGACGGUUUGAAAAUUCAAAAACCGAUAACUGAACGAAAUAACCAACAAAAAAGAAUCCAUAAUUGAAAAGACAACCUAAAUCGUCUAAACUGAAAUCGACUAAACCGAUUGUGUCAGUGUAAUCAAUUUUCUUCAUUUUAACCAAAAAUUGUUCUCCUCUAAAAAUAACAAUCAAAUUAAAUCAAUGCAAUCAUUUUAUUUUUAUUCUAUCAUUACAAUGAGAGAAGAGAAUUAUAAAUUUUGAACUCAUGUCAUCAACAUGCUAGAGACGAGAUUUAUUCACUAUUACAAACAAAUCUUACUAUUUUUCAAAAUUUGUUAAUGCAAUAAAUUAUAAUAGAAGGACAUCCAACUAUGAUAUUUCUUUUAUGAGAAUUAAGUAGUAAACGUGGCUGUCCAAGCUCAAGUGAGAUAUUUUGAGCCAAUAACUCGUGCUUAGGCCUAACAUAUUAUUACACAUUCCUUAAGCAAGUCCUUAAAUUGUUUUAAUAGUUAAAUAAACCCCUAUGAUUUUACCCAUAAAAGCCAUUGAUUUUAUCAUUAAAGUAAAAUUAAGCUCUUAUCUUAAUUUCUUGUUAAUGUAAUGAAAUUAUACACUUUUAACACCAAUAGAAAAUUUAAAAGAGUAAUCAAAAUUUUCAAAAUAAUGAUUAAGUGUGUUUUAUAUAUAAACACUUUCAACGAAUUUAAGUAUUAUUUCGUUUUACUUUCAAGAAUAUUAAUAUUAUUUUAUUUAUAUUUAAUAAACUAUUAUGAUCAAAAUCAAAUCAACAUAAAAAUAGAAAGUAAUUUAAAAUUUUGAAUUAAUUUUCUUUAAUAUUAAAAUCAAGGACUUUCAUGAAUAAAAAUAAUAAGUUAGAGACUUAUUUAACUAAAAAAUAAUAUAAGAGAUCCUUUAAACAAUGUAUAUUAAUGUAAGGGGUAUAUUAUCAAAAAAAAAAAAUCUUAUUUUCAAUGUACGAUCUUGUCUGUAAUAAUGACAUAUCAAUGUCUUUAAUUUGGGACAUGUUUGUUUUUGUUGAUCACAUUUUUCAUGUUUUUUUAAAAUAUGUUUUUUUAAAAGGGUAAAUUUCACAAAUAGUUAUUUAACUGUAAAAGAAAUUUAUUUUAGGCACUCAAAAUAAAAAAGUUUGUAAAUUAAGCAUUUGUGUUAUAUAAAUCGGUCAUUUUAGUCACUCUUGUCAAAAUCACAAAUGGUAAGCUCACAUUAUAGUUAAAAAAUUAAUAUAAUAAUAAAUUUAGUCCUAAAUUUUUACAUAUUAUAUCAAUUUAAUCAUAAUUUUAAAAAAUUAACUUUCAAAAUUUACAAAUAGUAUCAAAUUGGUCUUAAUUCUAAAAAAAUAAAAAAAUAUAUAAAAAUACAUAAAUAUUUUCAAAAAAUAAUAAUAAAUUUAAAUUUUAUAUUAAUAUUAAAAAAAAAAUAGAAAACCCACCACCACCACCACUCCCGUCCCUCUCCCUCUUUGCUGCUGCAAAUUCAUGUUAGGGUUAACUGAAGGAAAAUGGAAGCUGUUUUGGAGAAGUGCAAUGGGUGAGAAGGCGAAAGAGGAGUGGUUUUACAAGUUGGAGAUUUAAAAGGAUUGACUUUGGAUGGGAUCUUAAGUGAUCUUGUUAGUGGAAGUUUAUAGAAGGAAACUAGGGUUGAUUGGAGCUGAGACAGUGUUGAAAUAUGUAGAAAGUUUUCUGUUAAGUUUCCCAGUUAAGAAAAAGACUGGGAUUUGCAAUUGUUGCCCAUUACUUCUUCCAAUACUUCAUUUGAUGAGGCUUACCCCAAAUCCGGGAGGGUAUUUUUAUUUUAAUUACAAGGCUUCAAAUAUAUUUCGUAUGAAAUUUAAAUUAGAUGUGCUCAUAGAUCGGGUUCGGAUCAGAUUGAAGUAUGAUAUUAACAUAUUUUAUAUUUGUGUAAAUCCGACUCGACUCGAAAUAUGUUAUUAAUAUAAUUUUGUCUAAACUUGUCUAUAUUUACAAAAGACUAAUCCAAACUCAUUUUAGACUUACCCAUAUUAUUUUAAAUUUUUUUAAACAUAUUUAUUUUAUUUUAAUAUUUAAUAAUUUUAUACAUUUUUUAUUUAUUGAAUGUUUUUAUAUAGUCAUAUUAACAUUAUUUUAAUGUUUAUAUUAGAUUAAUAUUAUAUCUUUAGUAUAAGUUUAUUUUUUAACUAUUUUCUAAAUUACAUAAAAUACAGAAAUAACAUAAUAUAAAAUAUUAUAAAUUUAAAAAUAGAUCAAGCUCGAGCUUGAUUUAAGUCCGAGUCUAACCCACAUUUUAAAAAUGUCUAAUUUUUUUACCUAAUCUUAUUUUUCAGUGCCUAAUAUUUUUAUAUAAACUCUCUCAAAUUUCGAGUAAAAUUAAAAAAAAUAAAUUAAAACCAUGUCUUUUUUUUGUUAUUGUUUAAAAAAGUAAGUUCUUUCAAUAGUUUUUACCCACCUAAUGUUGUUGUUACUCUUUUGAGUACAAAAACAUUCAAUAAAAUAAUCGUACUGUACUGCUAGUUUAGGAAAAAAGGUUUUAUACCCCAUGGACUUGUGACGGUAGUGGUGGAGGGAAGGACGGAAAGAUGGUCGGGGGAUUUUUAUUUUAUUUAAUAUUAAUAUAUUUAUAUUUAUUUAAUAUUAAUAUUAACAUUAAUAUAAAAUUUUAAUUUAUCAUAUAUUUUUUGAAAAUAUUCAUGUACUUCUAUAUAUAUUUUUUGAAUCUUUUAGAAUUAAGAUAAAAUUGAGAUCAUUUGUAAAUUUUGAGAAUUAAUUUUUAAAAUUAUGAUUAAACUAAUAAUGUAAAAUUUGAUGGUUAAAUUUUUUAUUAUAUAAUUUUUUUAACUGUCAUGUCAGCAUGUUAUUUUAAAAAUGACAUAAUUUCAAUUUUAGCCUCAACUUUUACAUUUUUGGGGUUAAUUUUUCCCAUUUUUAGUUAAAUUUGGCCCUUAUUCUUUUGAAAAUAGUCAAAUUUAAUCAUCAAUCUUUCAAAAAAGAGUCAAUUUGAUAUUCUUCAACGAAAAUACUAACUAAAACGUUAAAUUUUUAAUAUUUCAAUCUGCAUGGCAAUCUACUACUCCAUGCUAAUUUUUUGGAAAUUCAUGAACUUUUUAUGAUUUUUUAAUUUUAUUAUUUAUUUUUUAAUAUUUUUAUAAGUUUAAAAUUAUUUAUUGACAUAAAAUAUAUAAAAAAUAAUUUUGUGUCAGCAUGAAUAAUUCAGUUAUUAUUUUAUAAUUUUUAAAAUUAAAUAAUCAAAAUAUCAACUUGUUACCGUAUUGAAUUUUUUCUCCUUGCUUACCCUGUUACAACUUUAUACGCAAUAAUAGACGGGGAUUGCAAGUGACAGGGACAGGACAAUAGUAUUUUAUUUACUUGUAUUCUAUUUGGCUAGUGGUCAUCAUGAGAUAGUUGAAUCUGUUAUCGGUAUUAAUAUAUUUUAUGUUUAUUUUGAGUUGAUUUAAAAUAUGUGUUAAAAAUUUUAUUCAAAUUUGUUUGGCUUCAUAAAUGAUUAACUCAAAUUUAUUUUAGGUUUACUUAUAUUAUUUUUUUUAUUUUUAAAAUUUAUAUUUAUAUUAUUUUAAUUAAUUAUUGAAUACUUUUAUAUACUUUUCAUUUAUUAAAAUUAUAUAUAGAGAUAUUAAUAUUUUUUUCUUAUUUACAUUAAAACAUUAUAUAUUACUAUAGAUUUAGCUUUUAUGUGAUAGAAAUUAAAUAAUAUAUAAAAAUUAACAUAAUAUAUUAUAUUAUAAACAUAGAAAACGGGUUAAAUUGGGCUGGGCUUAGGUGUUUUAAAUGUUGAAUCAUGAGCUUAGCCCAUAACUUAAACGGACUUAAUUUUUUCUCUAAGCCUAUUUUUUCAAACCUAAUAUUUUUAUCAAAUCCUCUCAAAUUUUGGAUAGGUAGCCACACACCAUUGGGUUUUUUUUUUUGACAAAAUUAUAGAGGUAAAUUUUAAAUAUUAUAAUAUGCUCUAAAUUUUUUUAUCAGGAAUUUAAUCCUCAUACUAUUAUUUUCAAGAAUUUUGUCUAGUUAUUUUUCAAAAUUAAAAAUUUAAGUUUAGUUGUAAAUACUGUUAAAAUUCUUUUUUUUUAAAUAAAAAAAUUUACUUGUGUGACAUUCUAAAAAGAAAUAAAAAUUCACUUGAUAACUAUAUGAUGAAAAAAUGACAUUGUAAUGGAUAUGAAUUUAAUAAAUAAUUCUAACAAUAUCAACAAUUUUUAAAAAUCACGUUAAUAUUUUAACAAAAAUAAAAUAUUUAGACUAACUAAUAACAUUUUAAGCAUAGAGGAGUCAAAUAAUAUAAAAUUAAAGCAUAAAAAUUAAAUAUUAAAUCUAAAUGUAGUUUAGGGAUAGAAAUUGAAAUUUAACUAUUAUAUUAAUAAUGUAAAAAUAUAUAUAAUUGCGUGUGAAAGAACAGAAGGUCUUAGGGCUUCCUUUUAUAUAUAUAUAUAGUAAUAUAGAUUUUGCAUCAUAUUUUGCUUUGUGUUGCUUUCAAUUCAUUUUUUUACUAAUGAUUUCUUAACUUAAUAUUAUAAAAUAUAAUUUUAAUACAUGAAAUUUAAUAUAUAAUAUAUUCAUUUCUCUAUUACAGGACUUGAUUAAAUUAAUUCCUCUUUGAUUAAAUAGAUCAAUUUAAUCUCUUGUUAUGGUGUUCAUCAUUACUCACCCACUACCCAAUUACUUGAUUGGGUAUUGACCCAUAACCUACAUGGUUCGCAUCUUGGAUUCACAUGUGAGGUGUUCACAUCCUUUCACGGGCUUGUACGAUGUGGGUUCGUACUACUAUGCAAAAAAACCCACUCAUAGAAAAUAAGUGUUGAUCUUAGAAUAAAGUAUGUGUUGGCAUGCAUAUGGACCUAUUUACGACGCCACAUUCAUGAACAAUAACUGUGUCAUAUAAAUAGACAAUUUAAUCAUUUUGAGGGAUAUUCACACUAAAACACUCAACAUCCUUAUACAAUUAAAAAGAAUCAAAUAAUGUCAAAUUAGAAUAAAAUUAAUAUUUACUAUUUAUAUCAUUCACUGUUUAACAAAGUUAAUAUUUUUAAAGUUCCUAUAAUUCUAUACAUGAAUUUUUUUCUUCAGAAUUGAACGACAAUUGAAAAAAAUAUCGAGAUAUUUUUAUAUAAUAAAUGUGAACUUAUUUGAUUAUUCUUCUUAAUAAUAUAGGAACCAAAUUAAUUUAUUUAAUAAUAGAGAGACUAAUUUAAUUAAAUCCGUGUAACAUAGGAAUGUCCUAAAUAUUUAACUUAAAAUAAGACUUUCACUCCCAUAACCGACUCAAAGAAAAUCAGGGAUACUCAAAUACAAUUUUGAAUUUAAGUAGAAAAUAAAUUUAAAAAAUAAUAAUAUAAUGAUCAUAAAUUUAAUUUUAAAAUAAUUUUAAAAUAUUAAAAUUUUGUAAAUUAAAUAAUCAUUUUUGCAUUUAACUUUUUAAUAUUAUUGUAUAUUUUUAACUGUAACUCAUAUUUUAAAUAUUUUAUUAUUUUUAGAUUUUUUAUAUUCUUUGUAUGAUAUUUUCAAUUUCUUUUUGCAAGUAAAACAAAAUCUAUAGACAAAUAUUAAAUUACAUUACAUGGUCAAAUUAUAAUGAAGAAGACAUUAUAUAUUAAUAGGUAAUCAACGAUCCAUGUAAUGUCCAAAAUCUUAUAUGAAAAAUAUAUUAUCAUAUGUAUAAUAUCAUAUCAACUUGUUAUUUUUAUAUAUUACCUAAAAAAAACCACACUAUUUUACUUAAUGUAUUUAAUGACAACCGUUUUAAGUCAAAAUUGAAAUUUCGAAAUUUGAAAAGUAUAAACACUAUAAUAAUGAGAUGAAAAAACAUGAAAUAAAAUUCACAAUUUACACAUAAUAUGAAACACAGCAAAAUUUAAUUUCAAUUUUUAAAAAAUACAAAAAUUAAAAUUGAUCAAAUUACACGCAACUCACCCAUAAUAGGAUAAUUGAUCAUUGAAAUUAACCUUUUAAGUUCCAUAUAUUUGAAAAUCAUAUCUGUACCCAAGUUUAUCAUAGAUAUAUACAUAAAAAGGAAAUGAAAACUCGGAAUAACAUAAAUUAAAAUGAAAAUCCUGAAAACUGGAAAGAAUUCAAUUAAGCCAAAAUCAAGAAUUUAUAACCUGAAAUUAGGUUGAAUGAUAUAGAAUUUAAGAUGAAAUAUGGUUUAAUAAGGCAAGUCUCCUUCAGGAAGCUCCCAAUUAUCUUCUUCAUCCUCAUCCUUCUUACUGGUUUCCUCUCUAGAUUGUGCCGAAUCCUUCGGUUUCGGGCGUCUGAAAACAAGCAAAACAGAUCAUUCAAUAAACUAUGCUAUUCGGAUUUGGAUGUGAAUGCCUAAUACCAUUAGGUGUUUGAAUUUUAUGUAUUCGAAGGAGCUUUAGAACAGACAAAUCUAUAUACUCAUGUUCAAACAUGCAUCAGAUAUGGUUAUGACAAGUAUUUUUUAAGAAAAAUGAAGAAACAAAAAGCUCUCAUUGCCAUCCAUAACUUCCAUAUUAGUUAAAACCAAUGUUGAUUCGAUUGGAUCAGUCGGUUGAAUGGAGAAGCGGUGAUUCAUCCAGACCAGUAUAUACCACUCAACUAAGAGUUUUUUUUUAUUGGAUUAAUAAGUAAUAGUCAGUUGAACCAGUUAAAAAACUAAUAAAAAAAAAUCAGAAAUUCGGUUUUAAAUUUAAUUUAAAUUUAAAAAAAAAAUUAAUUAGAUUUGAUAAGAUUAGGACAUUUAACCCCUUACAACUUGUAUUAAAAAAAUUACAAUUUAAUAAAAUAGAUUUGAAAAUUAAAGUUCAAUUGAUAAUACUAUUAAUGUAUUUUUGUUAAAUUUGAAUACUGUUUGAUUUAAAAAUUAAAAUCCAAUUGAUAACAUAUAUUCAAAUUUAAUAGAAGUAUUGAACUUUAAUUUAAAAUUAAAACGCAAAGGGACUAAAUUUCGAAAGUCCAAAGAGUAGAGUGAUUAGAGGCAUAAAUAGACCAAAAAGAAACCUGCAAAGCACAAAAACAUUGGUCUAAUUAUAUCUCCAGUCCCUAUUCUCUCCAAACAUUUUAAAUUUAAUCCUUAAGAUUUUUUACUUCAAGAAUUUAAUCUCUCUACCUGGCUAAUUUAAAAAUGAAGUCUAAUUAAUAACAAGUUAAUUGAGCUAUGUUAAAUUUAUUUAAAUAUGUGCUAUCAAUUGAAUUAUAAUUUUUAAAUCAAAACUUUGAAUAUUAAAAUGUCAUAUAUUCAGAUUUAAUAGAAUUUCAUUAGUGGUGUUAUCAAUUUGGUUUUAAUUUUAAUUUUCAAAUCAGAUAAAUUGGUAGACUAAAUUCCUAAAAAUAAAAGUAGAAAGACUAAAUUUCAAAAGUUCGAAUAAUACAGAAACUCAGGGCACAAUUAAACCAACAAGAUUCUCUAUAAAAGUUUAAACCAACCACCAUGUAUUCAAAAGAAAAUUAGGCAACAUGAAAAGAGACAACUCACUCAAAAAUAGACAAUAGAUAUGAGAAUUUUAAGGAUAUAUAUAUAUAGCAACAUUGUUAUUGUAGGCAAAAGAAAGAAGGAAAAAAUAUAUAUAUUUGAAAAUUUAAGCAUUAAAAACAAAGAGACCAAAGUUUUGACAUGGCAAUGAGGAGGAGCAAUCUUCUAUUCGAGAAAUGAGCAAAUUGCAUUUUACUUCUCUACUCAUUAAAUGAGCAAUUAGUAGAUCAGAGAUUCCAUCUAUUUUACUGUAAAAAAUGGACUUUUAUAUGUGAAAAUGAAGUUAUAUAUCAUUCACCACAUAUAACUAUUUGAUUAGGCUAGUUUUUAACAGUAAAAAUAAAUAAUUUAAAAAAAAAAACCAAUUUAUUCUUUUAUCUAAUGUACAGUCACUAAUUUAUCUAUUUUCUAGGUAAAAAAAUAAAAUUAAAUCUUACUCCUAAUGCAAAAAUUCCAUGAUACUUUCACCCUCAAAUUUCAUUUAAUACUUUAGCACUCCACCUUGAAAUAAGCUCUUCUGGAAAAAAAGAGAUGCAUGUAUUAUCUUUUACAAAGUUCCACCCAAUAUAUAUCAUAAAAUCUUAUAAAAAUAAAGGAAUUAUAAUCAAAAUAUUAAAAUUAUAAAUUUUUAAAUUUAAAAAAUAAGGUUCUCAAAAACAGACGGAUGAUCAAACCCGCUCAAACCAUCCAUCCGAUUAGUUCUAUUAAAAAUUUAUAAAAAUAGAAAAUAGAAAAUAUCUCUUAAACUAGUUCAACCACUAAUUGAUUCCUACUAAUUUGCGAGUCAAUUAGACUAAUCUCUUGUUCCUGACCCGAUACUCGACAUAUUCCAGGACCAAUCAGUCCAGUUCCGAAACAUAAAACUAAACAAUUAUAACUAAAAAUAUUAACUUGAAAAAUUAAAUAAAUCGUCCAUGUCUGCGAACACAAGAAAAAAAAUUUAUGCAAAAAAAUCAUAUUCGAAAGCAGGGCCGGCGCUUCCAAACAUGGUAAAAUUAUGAUUUUAGUCCCUCUAAAAUCUGUAGAGUUAUAAAUUAAUACAAUGAUAAAAUUUCAUUUCAGCCCUCAAAAAAAUUCAAAAUUCAAAUUUGAAGAUCAGAAAAUUUUUUCUGCCUAUUGAGUUAAAACGAUGAUCCCAAUAUAAGACUAUGAAAAUUCACCAAAACUACAAACAUCAAACUCAAAGCACAGAUAAUAAACCCCAAUACUGAAUUUUUUGUGGUUAAAUUAAAAGCUAUGAAAGAAACAAGGGAAAAAGGGGAAGGAAAGCUAAACCUUCUGCGGUUCCUUUUAGAAGCUUCUCUUACUUUACGCUUCUUUUUUUCCUGUGAGCUCUCAAAGAACAUCCUCCUUUUGCAUUCCUGUAUAACACCGGCUUUAAACACGGCUCUCCUGAACCGGCCCAACAGCUUAUCCUCCGGUUCGUUGUCGGCCACCACCACCUGGACGUUGUAGUGACCCGAUUUGAAGAAAAGGGUAUUGGCGUAGGCUAAUGAUGGGCAUGUUAUGGCAUUAGUUUCAUCGGCCGGUGUGGUCAAACAGGAAGAAAGGCGAAUGGAUGUUGAUUUGGGGUCCGAUUGAGAAACCGGCGGGGCGAAAUUUGGUGGGUUUUGGGGGAGAUUUGGUAGUGAAUGUUGGGAACGGAGGAGAGAGGAAAGUGAUUUGGAGAGAGAAGUGAGGGAAAACGCCAUUGAUGCUGACUUGUGAUUCUUCUGGCUUUGGCUCCCACUUACAAUAUCAAUCUUUAAAUUUUGCUUUACUCAAGUUCUAUUAUAUUUGGGUAAAUUCGACUUGUAGCGAUUCUAACUAUUGAUACAUUUCAUUUUUGGUCACUCAAUUAUGAAUAUUUACAAAAUAAUUAUUCAACAAUUUGAUUUUAUCUUUUUGAUCACUAAAGAAAAGAUGUGUUGCAGCUUUAAACAUUGACGUAAUAUCUUUAAUUCUCAAUAUUUAUAUAUUGUAUCAAUUUAGUAUUGAUUUUAAAAAAUUAACUCUCAAACAUUUAAAUAUCAUGUAAUUUAAUAUUCUUUUACAUUUUUUUAAAACUCUUUCAUCUAAAAAGCAAAAAAAAAAAAACAACAACUCUAAGUUAGGUAAAAAAUAUACCAAAAAUAAAAACAACCAAAAGUUCAUUAUAAUAAUUUUCAUCUUUUCUCAUUGUUUUAAAUUUAAUCCAUGUCAUAAAGAAAAAUAAAACUGUAAAAAAAAUACCAAAUUAUACAAUGUAUAAAUAUUGGUUAAUUUUUUUUUGAAUAAGCCUAAAACCGACGCAAUGUAUAUGAAAAAUGAAAUAAUUAAACCCUAAAAUAUUAAAGACUUAUCAAUUAAGCUUUUUGGCUAACAAUUUCUAUCAUUGAUCAUUAUUAUGCUAACAUACUCAAGAAUAAAUCCAGACAAAUAGAUAACUAAUUCAUCUAAACUUGAACUAUGAUUUUUGAAAUCGGACCGAUGAUCAAAUUGAUCAGGCAAUCAAUUCAAUCGAUCCGAUUUCAAUUAGAUAAAUUAUUAUAAAUUCAAUUUUUUUAAAAAAAAAUCUAUUAAACUAUUUCGACUAGGUCAGCCACCAACUCAACUGAUUUUUAUCUCAAUUCAUAUUGAUCCGGGUUAACUAACUCCAUUGACCUAUUCAAUCCAAUUUCAACAAUUAUAGUUUAGCAUCUGUUUAUCUAAAUUCAUUCUAAACAUAGUCUUUUAAUUUAUAUAAAAAAUUAAAGACGAUGGUCCUUGCUUUUGUUGCUAUAAAUCCAUUUGUUCAAGUUAAUGUAAAAAACUUUUCUUAUCAUCUCACAAUAGGUAAAUCCCAUAAAUUUGAACACAUGGCCAUAUGAUUUAAAACCUUAUCCUUUUAUCAUCUAUACUAAACAAAUUCAUUAUUAUAAGUCUUGUUUUCUUAUUUUAGGCACAUGUUUAAUCAAAACAAUAAAUAUGUUUUUCAACAUUAUAAUUUUACAUCUUCCAUCCGAAAAAUGAUUAUAAAAGCAUAUCAAUUACCGAUGUCACAACUAUCAAAUUAGAUAAAGAAGAAGAAGAAGAAAACAACGGUAAGAACUUAAAAACUUGUUAAAAAAUAGGAUUUACCUAUUGUAAGAUAGCAAGAACUACCCUUUUUCAUUUAUUUUCGUAAUUUUUAUAAUGUUUUAUAAUUUUUUAUAUGUUUUUAAAAUUUGUUGUAAUUUAAAAAACUAUAUCCAGAAUAAAUCUACACAAAUGGAUAACGAGAUUCGAACGAACUUGGAUGCUCAUUUAUCCAAGUUCAUUUUGAACUAAAAUUUUUAAUAAUUUUAUGAACACCGACAUGGAUUGUCACAUCAACAUCAUAAUAACUCAAUAACCGUUAACAAUAACAAUCAACAACAAAAACUGUUAGUCAAAAGGUUUAAUAAAUAAAAGGACUGGGAGUGAUAAAGGAGGAGAGCCUUUUCUGAGUUUUUUGAUCCGAAUUAAACAAAGUAGAUGAAGAUUCACAAUGUAUGGGUCAGUUUUAAUAUUAAGUGCUUUUAACUCAAAAUUCCAAAUGGAUUAUUCCUUUUUUGCUCAACUUUAAUUAAUAUAAAGUUCCACGUAAGCAUUUAAUGAGGGACCAGUUUGCUCAUUUAUCUAAUGUUUAAUAACUCGUUUGCUCAUUUUUAAAGUAAGGAGACUAAAAUGUAAAUUCAAAGUAUAAUACAAGAAUUGCUAUGGCACUUCUACCUACAUAAGAGAGCUUAUAAAUAGGGAAAAGUUAUCAUAAAUUUAAACAUUUUAAGAUGAACCAACUGAAAUAAACUGAAACAAGGUUUAAUAUAAACACGAAGAUGAUUUCGAGCAGUUUAUAUAAUUAUAUGCAAAAUGGGAAAAGUUAAAAUGUAGUGAGAAAAGACUUACAUUGACAAGCAAUGGAUCUAGUAGUAUCGGAUAUUGGAGUUGGGGAUUUUGAUUGUUCCUUUCGAAAGAUUGGAUGAAAGACUAAUAGUCUUGGCUUUGAAUGUAGUUUCGGCUGACUCUAGCGCUCGGGAAGCUAAAAGGGCCAUCUCAGAAUGUAGUUGGAGACAAGAUACAGCCAUCUAAAAUCAGAAUUAAACUUUGGCAUUAAACAACAUAAUGAUUCUAAUAAAUCAACCAAGUAAAUGAAAUGCAGUCCUAGGCACUAAACUUGUCCGAGAGCCGGGCUACUAGCCUAAGCUCAAAAAUUAAAAAUACUAUGAACACUGUUUUUAAAACUAGACUGGAUUGGCUGGCCGGAUUGGGAAUGGCCAAGGUAUUGGUCUAGAAUAAGGGGUUGGACUGAUUGACUUGGGAACCGGUUACCCGAUUGAACCAUUGGGUGAACCUAUUUUCUCUAUUUGUUAAAUAUUUUUAAGAUUUUUUAAUAAUUUAUUCAAUUGAUCCAGACAAACCGGUUGGACCAGAUAAAUUGGGAACCGGUGGUCUGAAGGUUCAACCACCGGUCCGAACAUGCAUAAAUGGGAUUGGAUUAGUCAUUUACAAAAAUGAAUGAACUUGGACAAAAUAUUUAAGCAUUCUUAAAAAGGCAUAGAUCAGGGAGAUAUCUCUUGAAACUGAAGCAGAGAUGAGAUAAGAAACUGAAAAAUGUGGUAAGAACUCUUUGCUUACCGUAUAGCAUUCUCUAUCUGGGUCGGAAUCGGCAACGUGAAGGGCCCAUGUACGAAUCCAUUCAAGCCCUUCAGAGAUUUCGAUAUUUCCUUCAACCAAGGAAGAUGCUAUAGAAGAAGGAUGAAGAGCAAUGAGCACACAUGAUGCUGCAAAAAGGACAGCUCUCCUGACAUAUGCUUCUUUGUGAUGGCACACCUCCCUGAGUUAACAAAAUCGUGGAAAAUGGCAGAUUAGCAAAUUAUGUACGCAUAAAGAUUUGAUGUAUUAUGAAUAGUAAAUAUGAACCACCAUGAAUGCAGUUGCAUGCAUGCACAUACAUCCAUCAUGACCAUGAGAAAAAUAUCCGAUGAGGUUGUCAAUCUAUAUGUACUAUUAGACACUAGUCAGCUGAUGCCAUAAAAGCUACUACGUCUAAGAUCUGGAAUCAUGACAGGACAUUUACAUAUUGAUGUUGAGUCAAGUACCUGGCUCUUAACAUAUCAAGAAGAAGAGGAGCCAAUGCAGAUGCUUCGGGAUGCAUGGAAGCACAUUUCAUGCAAACACCAAGCAUAUAGAUGAGUUUUCCAAGGACAAUAAAGUCUUGACCAAGCAAGUCAACACCAUGUCUUUUCUUAUCAAAUCCCUGCAUAGCUGGAAGCAUAAAUGCUGCUGCAUAGAGAGGAAACUUAUUCUGAGACCAUUCAGUUUGGCUUUCAUGUAUAUUUCCUGAUCUAAGGUUCCACCGGCGAGUCUUUCCUCUCUUGACCUGACCGGGUUUUAGUGGAAGUUCUCUUUCGUUUCGGAUCGACCAGUUCAGAAGGGUUCCUGUGUCUGAGACCUCUUUCCAUGAUCCAGUGCCAGGAGGCCCUGUAUUGCUAGGCAAGAACCAGGGUUGAGGUUCUGAAAUGGUUGAUAUGAGGGGCCCUUUCUGAUGUUUAGGUUUCAUAGUUUUAGCAUUAGCAAGCUCCUCUGCUGCCAGAGUCAUUACAUCAAGUAUCAUUAUGCGUUGACAAACAUCUACAUUCGGUGAAUAUAAUAGUUUGUCUAGGGUAUCAAGAGAUUCAAAUGGACGUGUGACAACCAAUGCUAUCAAAGCUCUUUGCCGCUUCUCUUCAGCUGAUUCUUCCUCGCCUUCUACAGCUACAUCAGAGCAACGAACCUGUACAAGAGUUCGAACAAGAUCACCUGCUAAAUGUGUUAGUUCAUCAGGUGAUGCUCGUAUAAGACUUUCAGCAACAUCUAGAGCCCUCUCCACCUGCAGUGUUAAAACAUACAUUACCAAUUAAGACCUUCCACUAAGAUUCUCUAGAAAUAAGUUAAAUGUGUUCAUAAUCAAUAUCUGCCAUAUAACUUCCAACAAGGGAACAAUUUCUAAUAUAUGUUUAAGUUUAUAAACCAAGUAACUUGAGCAACCAAAAGGAUAAAAAGGAAAAUAAAAACUCAAUUAGGUAGCCGAAAUCAAAUUUUCUAGCAAAUUUUACCCGAAGAGUCUUCAUAUUGCAUAUCAAAUUUAUACCUCAUAGAUAAUGCAAACUGAAUCAUCUUCGUGAAGAAAAGAAUGAAUGGUGAACUCAAACCACUUACCCCAUCAGCAUCAUCAGAUUUCCUUAAGGCUCCAACCACAUCAACCAGCUGUGAAAUUUUUCUUUUUAAAUCUGUGUCAUCAUCUGUCAAGUCGUAUGGCUGCAAAGAGGAGUCACAUGAAUCAGAAUUCUCACUUGCAUCAUCAUCAUCAUUUUCAUCAGAGACCGAUUCAUAAUUUAGAGUAGCUGGAUCAAUAAUCUCAUCUGGAUCAACCAAACUGAACUCUGAGGAUUUCUUGCUUUUACUCUUCACCCCACUUCCUUUCCCACCAUCAGCUGCACGUGCUAAGUCUUUACUUAAAGUGGCGCUGGUUGACGUCCCAGUUUCAUCAAUUUGUUUCUCUGCAUUUGAGACUGACAAUCUCCCUUUCUCAGAGGUGGUUAAUCCGAAUUCCCAGUCAAUGGUCUCCCCAUUGCAGCUGUCAUCAAGAUAUAGAGGAUUCUUUGGAUCAACUACUUUAGAGAACACUAAAGCGAUAGUGCUAGCCAUUUUUCGCACUAGGUCUGCAGGACUCUCCAGCCUACCUGUUAAAAGUAUUAGUGCAAAAGUAAGUUACCAGCUAAAAUACAUGACAAUUUGGAAGCAAAAGUUACAAGAAGUUACAGUUGACUCCUUGAAGAAUUGAGUGCAUUGCAUCCUUUGUUUUAUCUAGUUCCUCUUUGGACAUCUUCUCCAGACAAAGGCCUAAAGCAGCAGUUAUAUCUGUUUUUAAGUUAAAGGGAAACAGAACAUGACAAAUAAAAAGGCGAGAAAGGAAUGAAAAUGGAUGGACGGAUGCAGUUGGAGGUGUUGGUAUGGUUUAGAAGAAAAUAACUAAAACAAGAUAUGAAUCUUUGAUUCCCCUGGUAAAUUUUUAAGUUUCUAUAUCUUGCAUGUUCAAUAAUUGUCAACCAAAUUGAGAACUUCUAAUUUGAUUUGUGGAAGUAGUAAAGGAUACAAGCUUGCUGCUCUAGUGGGGCUGAUUGUACAAAGUCCCUUUUUGACCAUACGGCAGCCAGGCGUUGCACUAUGUCUAAGAGACCAUUGGUGGUUUCAUGACCUUUAGUCCACGAAUCUUUAAUGGGUGAGCAUUCAAAAACAGCAAAUUGCAAGAUCCACUGCAGGCAACAAACAGGAAAAACUUUCCACAGUAAAAACUUGUCAAAAAACAUGGACCUGAGAAAAAAGUAUGAAAAGCAAGAUCAGCUAUAAAAAGAAACAAAGCAGUACAAUGUGCCACCUAUAUAGUGAAUUUCUAAAUUGCAUCGAUUUACAAUAAAGUAUAACAAUCUGCUACACUAUUUAUCUAUCUAUUAUGAAAUACUUCUGCAUCACACAACUAUUUGCAAUUGCAUGUAGCACAGCUCACCAAAAGAAAACAACAAUAUGAUUACGGUUGGAUAUUCAAAUUUCAAAUUAUUAAUAUCCAAUUUGAAUUUAUUUAUAGAUAAAUAUACAGGAAGGAAAAGAAAAGAAAGGUUCAUUCUCCAAUUUAUUGUAUUUCAGACCAUCAAUAUGCAUGCAAGUUAUCCUAAUUAGUGCCGUUAAUUGUAAUGAUUCAUGACUAUAAGAUUGUCAUUCCUUCUGAUUCUGAAUGGCCUAAAUGCAAUGAAAGGAACAACCCAAUUAAAAUAAUCAGCUAAACUUGAUCGAAGGUAUAAACUAGCAAAUGUUCACCAACCUGACUGAUGACUGAGAUUUUAGUAACUGAUGAAACAAUAUCCAAAGAACCCAGUAAGCUUCAAUAUCACUUGCAUGCUCAGUUGCAAGCUGACGCAAAAGCUGUUCUGCAAUUCUUUCAACAGUGUAGGAAUCUGUUAUUGCUUCCAUUAUCUUCAACCAAAAUUGAGAUUCAGGGUUUGACUCAAAUACAUCAGUGUUUGAAGAUAAGCAACUUCGAACAUGUCUGAGAACCUGGGGAGUUACUUCACUUAACAGCACAUCUGCAAGCAAUGAAUGUAAUUUACUUCAGUGUCAAUUUCACCACCAUCUUGCUUACCUAAAGAGGAAAAAGAAAAAAAGAAAUUAAAGAAAUCCCUAUCAGCUGAAUGUAAUGUAAUGAACAGAAUACUUGGGUAGCAUGUCUUUAAAAGAAGCACAAUUAAAUUUCACGUAGUUAAUGCUAUGUGACAUUCCAAACUAUAGUGCACAAACAUUCAUGAUUCCGGACCCUCAUGCCUGUUUACCAUAAUUGUCAAAUUAAGAACACUGAAUGUUCCUUUAGUAAUUUAACCCUACACCAUAACCUUGGAUUUAAAUUACACAUUCCUUUUGCCUCUUCAAGAUGAAGAUCCUAGUAUCACCAUGCACAAUCUUCACAUUUACCUUAGCUUCUCCAGCUUCAACUUACAUAAAAGUUUCAUCAUCUUUGGCAGCAUUUAAGAUGCAAGAUAAAUAUUUAGAACUAGGAAAUAGUAAAUGCACAAACACCAGUAUGUAAUCAAAUCACCAUAUAUGACAUGAGAUGCAUUCUUAGAUGAACAAAUAUUUCUGCAUUCACAAAUUAGAAACUCAGGUUAUACCAAAUGACACUCAUCUAUUUAGCACAGUAUUACUUAUUGAACUAUCUGAAAGAGUGAGGAGUAAAAACUAAAGAAUGGAUAAGAGUAGAAAGUCACACUCAUACAAAUUGUUCUUCACUUAACCAAAUCGAUAUAUAACUCGUAGUGGAGCACAAGUUCACUAAAAUGGAGAUGAAUAAGCAAAAUGACAGAAAGAAAAUCUAACACUACCGCUUGAAAUAUCUCGCUACCUGAAGAUCCACGUCGAAUGAUACGGGAAAAUAUUUCUCCAAGAAAUGAAAGGUUAACAUCCAUCUCACUUUUAUCAGUGAUGGCCUGCCUUUCUUCCAUGCCAAUCAGAAGUUGAAUAGUGAUCUGCUUGAAAAACAAACUAUAAUACUUUUGUAAAGGAAAAUCAUUAAUAAAAGGCAUUUUUGAAAUAAACACAUGGAUAGACAAUAAUAAAUAAACAGAAUAACUAGUGCCGCAGAAAUAAAGGAUACUGUGAUGAGAGUAAAGGCGGGGCUCUCAAUCGUGCUUUGUCGGGAAUAGAUGUUACGAUAUGUGCUACCCUAGACACAACUGACUUGAGCCUUUCAUUUAUAGUAUCUUCUGAAUGGGGUGAAACAGCUAAGUCUAAAGCCAUUUUAAACACCCCAUCAUUGUCGAGAAGGCAAAGAACAAGCAACCUGUCAUCAAUUCAAAACAUGUCCAAAGGUAUGCUAUGAAUUUACUAUCAUAUCUCAUAAUAUGUUUCAUAAGAGUAAACAACGGAACCUCUUCAAUAGUAUCAUUUUCAACUAUUCCAGAUAUGGUACAAUGAAUGAUUACACUUAUAUACCAAAUCCAAUAAAUUACACAUAUAGCAAUCCAUUUAAACAGAAGACCCAGCUUACCUUUCUACAUUUGACUGAACAACAUUAACAUCGAAAACAUCACUGCUGGUCAGCUGUAGGUGAGGAACCAAAACCUGUACAACUUCAGUUGAAAGUCCAUUGACAAAGAAAACAUCAUAGAUAUGUUUCUUUGCUGAAAGAGGGAAACAUGUAAGCCAAUUGGAAGCAACAUCUGCAAACAACAGAUUUUAUAUAAGAAAAUAGUGGAUUUGAUUCUUGCCAAAGCAGUGAUAACUUCGAAAAAGAAUAAAAAUUACCAAGCAACAAAACACGAGCCAGUGUUGGAAAAGCAGCUCCUUGAUAAAAUGCCCUCCACCAAUCAUCCCUUUCAUUUGCAGCAUGAACUUUUGCAAUAAUAACCUUUAACAAAGCACAAACAAAAAUAAUGAAAAUUCAAAGAAAAUAAAAAAAAUAAUUUAAAAAAACGAAUAUAAGAAGAAAACCUGGUCUUUAUAAUGCUCGUCAAUGCUCCCUGUAAUUCCAUGAUAGUAAUACAAAAAAACAAAAAUUAUAUAUAUGUAUAAAUAUUUUAGAAACAUUUCCCGACAAUAAUUGUUAUAAGGUUAAAGAGAAGAGCGAAAAGGAGUGACCUGAGAGAAGAGAGGAAUCGAUGGGGAAGAGAAGAACAGCUAAAGAGUGAAGAGCGCAAAUCACUUGCUCGACGUGCUUUGCUCUUUCUAUUUCCCUUAUCACUUCGCCGACCUUCUCGAUCACUUUGCUCUCCACCUCUAUCUUCCUUUUCGCCGCCGCCGCCGCCGCCGCCUCCAUCUCCACCGUCGCCGACUCCUAUCAGUUCUCCGUUUCCGCCAAAGCCAAAACAGAAUAUUUCAAAAUUAUUGAAACGCUGUCGCUUGAACCAAGUCAAGUUUGUAGAUUAUGGAGCAUGGAGUAAGGACUCUAUAUUAUAUUGCCAAAACUAUGAUUUUGGCUCCUCUUACUCUGCGAUAUCUAAUUUUCAUAUUUUAAUUUAACAUGAUUCUUCAAUUAAAAGGAGUUAAAAAAUAAUUUUAUUUUUAUAUUAAAAAAUAUUUUUAUAAUUUUUUAGAAGAGAUUAAAUUAAAAUGUUAUGAAUUAAGAGGUGAAUGUAUAAUUUUAUCAUUAUUUAUUUAUAAUAUAUAAAUAUUUUAAAAAAUAAAAUAUAUAAUUUUUCUAAGCGGUGUCUACCCUUGAUUUUAUACUCUUAUAUUAUUAUAGUUAAAUCUAAUAACUGGUAGACAGGAAGAUUGAAUUAAAAUAAUUAAAAAAUUAAAAAUGUUGAUAUGAAUUUUUUUAAAAGUUACCUUUUUAAUUAAUCAUAUUUAAUAGUUUUCUUUAUGUUGGAAAAGGUGUCUUUAAAAAUUAUUUUUGAAUUUCAAUUAGAAUAAUUAACCAUAUUAAUUAUUUGAAUUAAUUAUUAUUUUUAUCAAAUUUGAAUUAAUUAUGAUAUUAUAAAAAUAGGGAUCCAAUUGUGUCAAAUUAAAGUGGACAAAUUAAAUCCAAAAUGUAAGCACAAUAGAGUGAGCAAAACAUUAAUUUGACCUAUUAUAUAAGUCAGAUGUUAUAGCAAACGCUGUCGUGUUGAGGUUUAUUAGAGUUAUAACCCCUUUCUUUACUUCGCGUCGAGCAUUAUUUUCAGAAAUUCAGUUACGUUCAUAGUACAAUGGCAACUGCCGCCAUAGAUCCGGAGCUGAAGAAGCUCCCGCGCCCCGGUCGGGGAGGAUUUCAAGCCCACGGUCUAACCGAGGAAGAGGCCCGAGUACGAGCCAUUGCUGAAAUUGUCAACUCCAUGGUAGAACUCUCAAGGAAGAACCAAAGAGUGGAUCUAAACGCAAUCAAAUCUGCCGCGUGUCGGAAAUAUGGACUCGCACGUGCACCGAAGCUGGUAGAGAUGAUCGCUGCACUUCCCGAGUCGGAGCGCGUGUCUUUACUCCCUAAGCUUCGCGCCAAACCGGUUAGAACCGCUUCCGGAAUCGCGGUCGUGGCGGUUAUGUCGAAGCCACAUCGGUGCCCGCAUAUUGCGACUACAGGGAAUAUUUGUGUUUAUUGCCCCGGCGGACCGGAUUCGGAUUUUGAGUAUAGUACUCAGUCGUAUACGGGAUAUGAGCCAACUAGCAUGCGAGCAAUUAGAGCGAGGUAAGCUAUUUGAUGUUCAUUUUCCCUUGCUUCGUCGAGCUCGUUGAUUUACUGAUUUCAUGUUACGUUAGGUUUGCGAACAAUAAUUUGAUAUUUUCGAUUAGGAUUUCAUUUGAAAUAUUAAUUGUAAGAAUGAAAUACUGAUGAAUUAGUUGAGAUUCAGUAUAAUUAUUUAUUUGAAAUUUGAGUAGUAUAAAAAUAUGAAUAUUGUCAAAUUCAUAGAUACUAUAGGAAUUUCAAAUUCUAUACUAAAUAGGUACAUGAGUCCAUGGAUUUGAGAAAUAAUCAGGAAUGUUAUUUUUGUAUGUGUUAUGUAUCAGACAACUUGCAGUAUUUUUAAAAUCCAGGUUGAAAAUUUGGAAUCUAAAUUCCCAAAAGCUACCUUAAAGAAACUUUUGAAAAUAGAAUAUUUAGUUAGUUUUUCAUUCAUUGAAAUCAAUGGGAGAUGGCUGUUGGCAUUAGGUUGAAUUGGAAUGGUGGGGGUGAGAGGGCCACGUUUUUGCUUGGUUAAAUUAGCUUCCGAUUCUGUUGAUUGCUAGACUAGCUUUUGAGAAUCCAAAUGUCAUGCUGAAUUUAGCAGCAGUGAGGUUUCAUGAUUGUUAAGAAGAAAAGAGAUGAGAUUUUUGCAUUUGCUUAGUACUGUCUGUCUAAAUUCUUCGAAAAACUUGGUCUAUGAUGAUUCCAGGUAUAAUCCAUAUGUCCAGGCAAGAAGCAGGAUUGAUCAGCUGAAGCGACUGGGUCACAGUGUAGAUAAGGUUCGAAUUAUUCCCUGGAUUAAGUAUCUGCUUUUGUUUUUAUUGCAUUGAGAUCUAUAGUUUGAAAACACUUUGGCAUUUGUUAAAAUGAUUAUUGGAUAUUUGUAGGUUGAAUUCAUCUUGAUGGGUGGCACCUUCAUGUCACUGCCGGCAGAUUACCGAGACUAUUUUAUUAGGAAUCUUCAUGAUGCUUUGUCAGGUCACACUUCUGCCAAUGUUGAAGAGGCAGUUACCUACUCUGAGCAUAGUGCUGUAAAGUGCAUUGGAAUGACAAUUGAAACGUGAGUUAUCAUGUUGCAUUUUGAGAUAUAUUCUUAUCUUUUUUUGCAGUCGAGAACUUUCAUGUGUAAUUUACUUUUUAGUGGUUCAGACUCAAAAUGUUUGUUUGGAAGACAUUUACCAGUAUUAAUGCUUUCCUUAAUCUACUUUCUAUAUCUAUAUAUAUUGCUGCUUGAUAUGUCGCAUAAAACUAGGCAGCUAUCUUGGUCCACUUCUUCAUUUUUCUUGAAGUACCCCAUGUCCAACAUGAGUAUAGGGAUAUGAUCCUCCAAGGAUCCUCAAAAUACAAGGGGAAAUUAACUGGGGGCGGGGGGGGGGGGGAUAAACCUACUUGUAUCGGGCACGUAUUUUUAUCCAACACUCGUACCCAAGUACGAGUUACAUCAUUAAGUGGGAGUCAGUAGUUGUUUAACAAAAGAUUGUAAAGUUGAAUGUGUUAUUUUAUGUGUCUGAAAUAUGUAAAGAAAAAUUGUUUGCUUUUUACUUAUUUCACUGAUUGAAACACACCACAUAUUUAAUAGGAGUUCUCAUUCUUCUGUUUCUGGUCUACAGUAGGCCAGACUAUUGCCUUGGUCCUCACCUGCGUCAAAUGCUUUCUUAUGGUUGUACACGAUUGGAGAUUGGAGUUCAAAGCACAUAUGAAGAUGUUGCUCGUGACACUAAUAGAGGACACACCGUAGCUGCAGUGGCUGAUUGUUUUUGCUUGGCAAAGGAUGCUGGUUUCAAGGUAUCUGUCUCAACGCUCUGCCGUUUCUCUCAAGCGAAACGAUUGUUACAUUUCCCCUAGUUACCUCUAUUUAGUAUAAAGAAUCCCCCAUUAUCCUCUUUAGGGAUGUAAAUGAAUAUAAAUGGCCAGAACAUGACUUUCUCGUGUUCGGUUCCUUCAAUAAAUGAGUCUCAAAAUCUUGUUCAUGUUCAUUUAUUUAGCUUGUUAAACGAAUAGAAGCCGAACUGUUCAUGAAUUGUUCACUAAACUCUCCAUUCAUUUUACACCCCUAGAUUCUUCAUCUUCUUCAUCCUCCUCCCUCCUGUCUUUUCCCUCUCAGUACAGCCAUUGAAAAAAUGAAAUCAAUCUUUUUGUCCGGCACAAAUCACAUAUCAAAUCAACUAAAACAAAUUUUCAUUAUCACGGAGUAUGCCAUAUGUGGCUUAAUUAUCAGUUUUUGCAUUUAUGCAUUCAGCUUCUUUCAAUUGGAUCCACUCCUUGCUGAACUUUUUUCAUUGCUUUUUUGAAGGUUGUUGCUCAUAUGAUGCCCGAUCUUCCUAAUGUUGGUGUCGAGAGGGACUUGGAAAGUUUCAAGGAGUUUUUCGAGAGCCCUUUAUUUCGAGCUGAUGGGCUUAAAAUAUAUCCCACGCUUGUGAUCCGUGGAACUGGCCUUUAUGAGCUUUGGAAAACUGGCAGGUAUGGUUACUUACUUAUUUAUAUUUCUUUGUUAAUGAUUUCAUGGGUAUCUAUGAAUUUUCGGUUUCUUUCAAGUUUUGACAGGAAAUAAAAUUUCUAUUUAUUUACUUUGCAGGUACCGAAAUUAUCCGCCUGAGCAGCUUGUGGACAUUGUGGCAAGGAUCUUGGCCAUGGUACCGCCUUGGACACGUGUUUAUAGGGUCCAGCGUGAUAUUCCUAUGCCUUUGGUUACCUCUGGGGUUGAAAAGGGAAAUCUUCGUGAACUAGCUUUAGCUCGUAUGGAUGACUUGGGCUUGAAGUGCCGAGAUGUUCGAACGCGUGAAGCUGGAAUUCAGGUAACAAGACAAUGUUGUUCCUCAGAAUCUGUUCAUGCUAAAAAGCAAUAACCUGUUGAGAGUGUAAUAAUGGCAUGUUUAUUUCAAUACAGGAUAUUCACCACAAAAUUAAACCCGAAGAAGUUGAGCUUGUUCGACGUGAUUAUACAGCAAAUGAAAGCUGGGAAACAUUUCUGUCUUAUGAAGAUACACGCCAGGUACUGCAAGGCCCUCUCUAUUGCUGUUUGUGUCACUGUGUGUACAUAUUUGAUAUAAUGUUCUCUAUGUAACAGUUUGUCUGUGCUGAAACAUGAUACGAUGAUACAGGAUAUUCUUGUUGGGUUGUUGCGACUGCGUAAGUGUGGCCAGAAUACUACUUGCCCUGAACUAAUGGGGAAAUGUUCUAUUGUCCGUGAACUCCAUGUAUAUGGAACUGCUGUUCCAGUUCAUGGCAGAGAUGCUGACAAGUUACAACACCAGGUAAUGGUUAAAAUCUUUAGUUCUAAAAAUUACCCUAGAAAGGAAGUUGAAUAAAAGUUUCCCUAUGAGGUGGAUACACUUCAAGUUCUACAUUUCGAAUUUAAUUUUUGUUUUGAACACAAUAAAAUAGAAAGGUCAUGAAGUAACCUAUACUGCUCCGGUUUCUCACAUGUUUUUGAAAUAUUCAUGUUCGACACUCAUAUCCAAUGCGUAUUUGGAUACGAGUAUGGAAAUAUAACCCACCAAACACAUUGAAAAACUUCAAUAAAAUUGAAUAGAGCUGUACUCAAGCCUAACCGAGCUUGAACAAUGAGAAGCUAUAUUCGAGAUUCACUACUUGAAACUUGGCUCUAGCUCGAUGGAGUACUAUUACAGAAGCUUGAGCUCAGCUCGAACUAAAUUGAACUAUUUGAGUUGGGCUCAAUUAAAGCUUGCUGACAUGAUUUAUAUACUCGAGCUUGAGUUUGGACUUGAGACUUGAGACAGCUCGUUCAUAUGCAAAUUUUUAUAUUUAAAUAACAAAUUUUAGGGUUUGGGUUUAAAAUGUACAUAUUAAGGGAAAGGUAGUAAUUUAAUACUAAAAUAUUAAAAACAUGACUUGCAAGCAGCCUGCUUGAAUUGAGUAUUAAGAUACUCAAAAGUCUGCUCAAUAAUGACCAAAACACACUUGAGUUUUCUUAAAGUCAAACUUGAGUAGCUUGCGAGCAAAGAUGUCUAACUUCAUCCUUAAAAUUUAGCGGAAAUGUACCCUUGAUAGCUCUAAUACUUGAGAGUCAAAUCUAAUCCGAGUAACGUAAGUAGCUUUAUCUUCUUUUUUUUUGCAGGGUUAUGGUACACUUCUAAUGGAAGAAGCAGAGCGUAUUGCAAGAAGGGAGCAUAGAUCAACAAAAAUAGCAGUGAUAUCUGGUGUAGGAACCCGGCAUUAUUAUAGGAAAUUGGGGUAUGAGCUUGACGGCCCUUACAUGGUUAAAUAUCUGACUUCAUAGGAAAACCUAAUUUUGAAUGUAACACCAAUUUUGUAUGCUUUUGUGUAAAAUUCUAGUAACAGAUAUCAAUUUAUAAUUUUGUAUGCUAUAUUACAUGUUGAAAUAUUUUUGUGUUUAAAUUAUUUUCUUUUAAGUUCAUCGAUUGAUCUCAAACGUUAUACUUGUUCAACAAUCAAAUUAUUUGGUAGACACUAUUGCAAUUUAAAUAAGGAUUUUAGAAAGGUUAAAUUAUGGUUUUUGUUUUUGUAUUUUAUAGAAUUGAGAUUUAUUCUAUAUUUUAAAAGUUAAAAAUUUUAGUUAAAUUAUAAUCUUCGUUGAUAAUUUUCGUUAAAUUUUAUCAAUAUAAUAUAUUUAUUUUCCAUUAAUCAUGUCACAUGUGGGCAAUCUAAUUAAAAUGUCAAAUUGAUAAAUUUUGAUAAAAAAUAUUUACUAUUUGUAUGAUUAGAUUGGAAUUUUCAGUGAUUAAAUCUCAAAUUUAUCAAACUAGAAGAACUAAUAACACAUUUUAGCCACGUAUAAAUUUGAGUCAAAUUAUUCAGAAUUUUCUUUAUUUAAAUUUAAUACUAAAAUAUAUUAUAUAAUGAUUUUGAAUCAUGUUUCUGUGUUUUUUUUCUCAGACAACUAUCUAAUCCAAUUAAUAGGUCUAAUUCUCUCAACCAUCAACGGAAACUUAAGUAACAGAAAGCAAAAUAUUAAGCUCGAUGUUUGAAUAUUUUAAACACGAUUAUGACAUGAAAAAUUAAUACAAAGACGAUACAAAUACAUGGAUUAGUAUCUGCUUAUAUUCUCUAACCUGAAUGGACUUGAAAAAAGGAAAAAAAAAAUUGACUUGAAUCAAUAACGUCCAAAAGUCAAGGUUGAAUUGCAGUUCCAAAACACUAUUAGUCUCUAUUCAGAAACUCCUUAUAACCCUUAUAGAACUAACCAUAGUCCAAGCUUUGCGGCACACUCUGCAACAGUCUCGAAGCGAUUCAAAUGAUUUAAGUUCAGUUAACUCAUUCCAUCAGAUUGUACAACACCUGUUUGCUGCCAUCAUCAAAAACAUAACGUCGGUAUCAAGAGGCACUGGCAUUGGCAUUCAUGCCACUGAAAUUUCCGUGACAUUCAAAGGAUGCAAACACAUUGUAUUUCAACUUUCUGACUCGAAGGAAGUAAUAUUCAUCGUUUUAUCAUCUUCCUCACUGCAACCAAAAACGAAGGAAAGUUAAGGGGACGGUCAAGAUAAUGAGCUAAACUAACACUAAACAGCUCUUGUACUUCUUUUAUUUGGAUAACACUAAACAAGUUACCCGCCAAGCAUAAGCUAAACCGAUUAAAUUAUGGCAACAAUUUGUUAAGCACAAGAUAAUGAGCUAAACUAACACUAAACAGCUCUUGUACUUCUUUUAUUUGGAUAACAGGGAGUGAAAACAGCCUCUGAUUGUUUUCUAACCAAUAUUCAUAUACAUAUAUAUAUAGCCCCACCCACACCACCUUUCAUAUUUAAUUGAGUUCCUUUUAAACCAAGUUUUUCUCCCCACCAACAUGAAUGUCAAAAACAAGAUCUGCAAAACCAAACCCUUAGAAACCAAUGCUUUGUUGGUUCAAGUGACAAAAAGCUUGGUCCCUCUUUCCACCAUGAGCUUCACUAAAAAACUUAGGAAAAGUAAAUCCUUAGAAAUAUUGGUAAAUCGUUAAAUAUUUUGGUAAAAACUUUUCCUAAGCUUUUUCUAAUGAAGCUCAUGGUAGAAUUUCCUAAGUUUUCCCCCAUUUGGGGUAGACAGACUCUAGAAUAGUCGAGGCCUAAUGUACCUUCCCAUAUUGGGGGAUCUUAGACUCCAAAAAAUAAAGGCAUAAUAAUAAAUUUAGCUUUUAACAUUUACCUCUUUUGUCACUUUAACCCUAAUUCUUUUGUUUUUGGAUCACUUUGGCUCUCAAAUUUUAAAAUUUAGUCAAAUUGCUUUCUUUUAGAUGUAAAAGUUAACUGAACCAUUAAAAUUUUAAUGGCACUGACGUGGCUACCUGCAUGGUAGUCCAUGUAUAAUUCAUAAAAAGUCAAAAAUAAUAAUAAUAAUAUUUAAAAUUUCACCAAAUUUCAAAAAAGUUCAUAAAAGUUUUUAGAAAAAUUAUCUGUGUUAACAGUGAAAUAUAUAUGGACUACCACAUAAGUGGUUACAUCAGUGCUGUUAAAAUUUAAUGGUUUAGUUAAUAUUUUCAUCUAAAAGAAAGCAAUUUAACUAAAAUUUGAAGGUUGAUGGCCAAAAUGAUCUUAAAAAAAAGAAUAAAGAUCAAACUGACAAAAUAGAUAAACGUUAGGGACUAAAUUUGUUUUUAUGCCCCCCAAAAAAAACUUGGAAGCUGUUCAAAUCAAAGUGUUGCUAACCGAAAAGUGGAGAGUUGUAUCAGAAGUUUAAUAUGCAAAGCUGGUGCCAUUGGUAUUAAUCUACCACAACAACUGAUUGAUAAAGUUCAAAAGCAAAAUGCAAAAGAAAAUUACCAACUAUGAAGGUUUUGCUUUCCGUCCAACUUGUGACACUCGUCUUAGCACUUGGGUUUCUUGCUUCAUAUCUCUGCAAAAUAAAUAAAAGUCAUAAAUAUUGUUGCAGACACUCAGUCAAGCAGAAAUCUUGGAAGCUUCGUUUUGUGUGAGUGUAUGUAUAUAAAUUACCUUUGAUAUAAAUAAUAAAGAAGAUAGAAAAGAGGAAGCAGCAUCAUAAGUAGUAUUGAUGUAGCCAUGUAGAGUAAAUUUGUUUGCUUCUGAAACAACAAAAGCAAUUUCAAAUGUUAAAUCAUAUUUCGUCAAUAGUAUAAAUAAGUUAAAAGGACUUCUACAUCAUUUUGAAUAAAUGAUAACGAGAAGUUUCCGAAAAUGACAUUCUGGAAAUUUAGUAUUACAUUUUAAUAGUCACACUAUCUUUGAAUUUAUUGGAGAUUUUGCGGAUAUCCUAAAACACAAGGCGAUUAAUCUAGGCAGCAUAAUGGGAUUUAUGAUAAAAAAAGCAAAGGUUAAAGUACUUGGGAGGUCCCUAUAUUAUAGGGACCGGAUCAAAUUAGUCCCCCUAUUAUUAAAUGAAUCAAUUUAGUCCCUAUACUUUAUUAAAAAGAAUCAAAUAAGUCCAAAUUGUAACAGAUUUAACAUUUACUGUAUGGAAAAUAUCUUGAAAUUUAUUUUUUUCAAUUGCAGCUCAAUACCAAACAAAAAUUUUCAUUUACAGGACCAUAAAAACUUUAACAAAUAUUAUCCCUGUUAAACAGAAAAUGAUAUGUUUUAAACAGUAAAUGUUAGCUCUAUUCCAAUUUGUGCUUAUUUGAUUCUUUUUAAUAGUACAGGGACUAAAUUGAUUCAUUUAAUAGUAGAGGGAUUAAUUUAAUUAGGUCCCUAUAAUAGAAAGACCUCUCAAGUAUAUUCACCAAAAAUUGAACCCCAGUCAUCCAUGCAAAGUUCAACUUUUAACCCAACUCCAAACUAAACCAAUUAUGAUUUAAAAAAUAAGCUUACCUUUCCUCCUCUAGGGAAAGGUUUUGCUUUUCCAGAGCAAGUGUGAGCAUCACAAAAUUGGCGCAGAAACAAUUCUUCAAGGGACAAUGCAAAUAAAAGUAGAGAUAUUAGCAAUAGUAUGACCGUACCUCAUUUUAAGUGAAAGAUAUUCACGUCACUACAACAUUUUCAGUUUUUAAAUAACAGAACUCAGGAUAUAUGAAAAGGCAUAUUUAUAUACCAUGGAGGCGUCUGGCAGAUGGACCCUGACUAAUAGGAAAACAGCUAUUGGCAAGACUCUGCUUACACGAAAGAAUAGAUGUAAAUGAGCCAGAACAUUGGAAUCAACAAAUUAUGGAAUGACAAUAAUUAGAAACAACCUCACAAAGAUGGCGGUUCCUCGUUGCAGCAGCAGGAUUGCACUUGGCCUUGAGCAAAUUGGAAUUUAUCACAAAGUCACAAUGCAAUGCUCCACAUAAGUCAGCCAAGCACUUACUUUGAUUCUGAAUUGAUCGGUUAAGCUUUGUCAGCAAUGUAAAAAUGAACCAUAAUUUGUUUUUGAAGAUUAGAGAGAUAUUGACACCCUAAACUGAAUGACGUUUAGCAAACAAUUUAAUACGUAAUGCUAUUCAUGUCAAGAAAUGUAGUGCAGAAGCAGGUAAAAGUACUAUGGAGGCCCCUGUACUAGGAGUUAGAUUGCAUUUUACCCCCUCUACUCAAAAAAAUGAACAAAUUAGCCCCUGUACAUUAGAUCAAAGAGCAAACUGAUCCUCUUGUUAAAAAUUCCAUUUUUGUCGUUAAAAAUUGGUCCCCAUACAUCAGCAUGACGUAUAUGUGGCAUGUCACAUGCCACUGUCUAUUUAUUCCAUCGACCACGCUAGUUUUUAACAGUAAAAGUGGAUGAAAUUUUUAACGGAAAUAACCAAUUUGCUCUUUAAUCUAAUGUACAGGGACUAGUUUGCCCAUUUUUUAGUAAAGGGGGCAAAAAAACGCAAUCCGGCUCCUAGUACAAGGGCCUCCAUGUUACUUUUACCUGUAGAAGCAUUAGUGAAAGAAACAAAGCACAAGAUAAUACAGAGGAUUACCAUAAUUUGGAAACAAUAUAUAACUUGAAAUCACAGAAUUACAGAAAAGAAAGCACUUUAUGUUAUGGCACAAGAAAAAGACCUACAAUUUGUUGCAAGAAAAGGAACAGGAGUCUAACAUACAACAUUUAGAAGAUUGUAGUGCCUGUUGUCAAAAUGCUGGUCGAGAAAUCUUUCAGCACGAAAGCUUUUCUUACAAUAUCCACACCGCCACUCGUUUACAUCCAAAUGAAUCUUGUGUCGCUCUUGAUCCCUAAAAAGAUCGUUGUCUGGAUGAAGCCUACAGUCAGCUGAAAUCUGAUACCCUUCUUCUUCAACGAAUGGCAUCAAAUACUACAAGGUGAACAUGAAGAACAUUUUCAUCAGCACGACGCAGAACAUCUAAAUGAAAAAAGUACUCCUCAUCAACCUGAAAGAGUCAUCUUGUUCUUACAUCAUCUAUAAUCUGCCAGGCAGCCCUACUUCUUUCUCUGGAACAAUGUACUUCAUGAGUAUCAUGCGAUUCCUGCUUAAGAGUCCUAAAGAAUAAGGAUAAUGAAGAUAUCAUCAGCAGAACUUCAUGAAAGAAGAUACCACAUUUUUUUCCAACACCCAUGAUCACUAGUCAUCACAAAAAAAAGGCAACCAAGUACAAAUCAACUCAAACUCCCAUCUCCCCAACUGGAACAAGUUCAAAACAGCAUUACCUCGCAGCCAAAGAUUCUUCAAAGCCUUGCUGCAUAACAAUAAACAGAAGAGAAAACACAAAAGGUCAGGUUGGAAAAACGGUGCAUCUUAACUUAUUCUGAUGUUUUCAUUUCAAGAAGGGGCAGAACGGGGGGAGGGGGUGCUGGGGCUGGCAGGGGCCCUGGCCACUUAAAAUGGAAAAUUUUCCCUUUAAGCCCUUUAAAUUCUCUAAAUUUAGGUUGAUAUAUGGUAAAUUUGCACUUUGGCUCCCAAAAAUAAUAAAAUUAUGAUUUAAUCCUAAUAAAAAAACAGUAAAAUUAUAAGCUAAUACAAUGAUAAAAUUACAUUUUAGCUCUUAUAUAAUUUAUAUUUAACUUUGGCCCCCUAGAGAAAAUUUCUAGGCUUCGCCCCUGAUUUCAAGAAUGCAAAUACAAAUACAAAUACAAGCAAACACUGUCCCAGAACUAAGCAUUGAACUCCAGACUUAGGAGACAUAUACAGAGAAAUGAAUCAUGCAUAUCUUCAUAUAAAAAUUUUCUUGUUAACAAAAAUGACCCUUUGAUAGUUAGGAUAUAUAUAUAUAUAUACACACCCACACACACACAACUAAUCUAAUUAACUGAAGUAAUGGUCUCGAAUAUACAAUAUACAACCGACAUGAAUAUACUCGAUUUUUUUCCAUAUAUUUGGAGGAUCAUAGCUUUCUAUCAAUAUCCAUAUAUAUGAAGCACUGAUACAUUCAAGAAAAUGAAGAGUUCAUAUAACCUAACUUAUAUGUAAGUACCAACUAAAUUGGAUUAAGGAAUUUAAAAAAGAAAUUAAGUGGAAACCCAUAUGAAAUAUAGAAAAAGGAGCUGAAAUUGAAAUGAGGCAUUAGAUUAAAUUACUGAAGUAAAUAUUAGAUAUUUCUAAUCAAAAUGAGAAAUUAAAAAAAAACCUGGGAUUUUGUGACAUGCAGCAAUAUAAAUUGAAUGAGAAUAAUUAAAGUUAUUGCUUUGGCUCUUCCCAUCUCUAAUCUUCAGUCCUCGUCUUCUUCUCUCUCGAAUGGGAGAAUUAAAGCUUUAACUUUUAAUUCUUCUCGGCAAAAAAGGAAAAAAGUGAAAAACUUUUCCCGGAAAUUUCACUGUUUUUCUAACUUCUAAGCUAUCUCGGUUUCGUGGAAUUUCAAAUUGGGCCCUUUUGGGUAUAAAGAUAAAUUAAAACUUACGAUGGUUAAGGAUGUUCUCAUUUUAAGAAAGGAUUGGUUAUAUUUGAAAGGUGUUGGUUUUAAGGCCCGCCCCAUCUCAUCAUUCUCAACCCGGUCUUAGGCCCAUUCAAUAAUAAAAAUGAAUCAUUACUAAUAUCAAAUUUAAAAAAAAAAAAAAACGGCCCAACUUUUAAUUUUGCAAAAUGUAACUCAUCUGUUUCAAUUUUGUAUAAUUUGAUCUUCCUUUUAAAUCAUUAACACCUCUAAAAAAAUUACUUGAGCCACCUACUGUGAUUUUAAACAAACAAAGAUAUUUCAAAAUUAUAGAUUAACUUUGAUCUAAUGUAUAAUUUGAUAUAUGAACUUUGAUUUAUUGUAAUUAUGCACAUGAAACUUUGAUUGUGGUUCAAAUACAUACAUAAAACUUUAAUUUUAUUCAAUUGUAUACAUUUACAUCAAUUUAUUUCUAUAUUAAAUAUAUAAUUAUUGGUAUUGCAAUAUAUAUUUAAAAUGGUACUAAGUCAAUAAUUGUGUUAGUAAUUUACGAAAAUUAAAUUAAAUUAACAUUUCAUGUAUAAAUUUACUUAAAUUCAAAAUUUAUAUACAAUUUUGAGAUUUAUGCAGAAUUCUAUAUAUGGUUAAAAGAAGUGAAAUUGUGGUUAUCAAAAUAAUAUUCUUUUUUAUUAAUUUAUCAUUUUAAAAAAAUCAACUUAGUCUUGGACUAUUUUAUUUCUUAGUUUGUUUUACAUGCAUUAUUGGCCUUAAAUUAAAUUUGUUAAAAUCCGAAUUCCAAAGGGGCUGCGUUCUAUACCGCAUAGAAGAAGGAACCAAAAGGAAAAAAUAUAUAUUUUGAUAUAAAAAAAAAAGUCAAUUUAUUGACAAAUUAGAUUAUGCAAAUUAAUAUGGGAAAAUAUUUGUUUUGUAUAUUCUACAAGUAGGGUCAAUGGGUCAACAACUAUCUUAUAAAUAUAUAAUAAAAUAUUUAAAAAAUAAAUAUUAAAAAAGAAGAAGACAAAUGACAAUUGUUUAAGGUUGACUGUGGAACAAAAAAAAUUAACUUCUAAAGUAUCAAUUAUCAAACUAACUCAAUUAAUAAUGGUAGGGAUGAAAAAAUAUAAUCUAACCAUUAUUUUAUGGAAGCUUUUUUUAUGGUUAAAACAUGCUCUAAGUUCAUUUAUUCUACAUAUAUUUAAAAUUUAGUCUCCCUAAUUUUAUUUUAAAGAAUUUAGUUCAUCUACUUUCAGAUUUAAAAAUGCACGUGAACAUGUUACUACUGUUAAAAUUCUUUUAUUAAAUUUAUUACAAUAUCAUUUUCUUAUUACAUCACUAUUAUGUAAGGUUUUCUUUUUAAUUUCAAAAUAUUACCCUAAUAACUUUAAAAAAAUUUAAUAAUGUUAACAACUUUUAACAUAUUUUAACUUUUUUUUUUAUCUCCUACCUAUAAGUCUCCAAGUUGGGAAAUAAAGAAAAAAAUCAAUAUUAAUAUAACAACUCAAAUUCUGCUCAACUAAAUUAUUUACUCUAUCCAACAACUUUAAAUAUAAUUUUUGUACUAGACAUGUUAAUGGGUCGGAUCAAUAUCGAAUUUUGAAAAAAAAUUCAAGUUUAACUUAUCCAAAUUUAUUUAAAUAGUUUAUUUCACUGUUCAAAAAAUAAUAAACAUAUUUUAAUUUUAAUUUAAUUAUAAAAUUUUUUUAUAGUAAUAUUAAUAUAUAUUUGUUUUAAUUUUUUUUUUAAUAAUUGACUUGAACUAAAUUGAAAAUUUUAAGCUCCAACCUAAUCCAUGAGCAUCUAUACUCCAUAUAUUCCAAAUAAGACAAGAGACAAGUUUCAAGGAUAAAAAAGCUUAUAUUUCAAUAUUUAUUCUUCUCAUAUUCACACAUGAUACAUAAAUACUUGUCGGGUAGAGUUUUAUGUCUUUAUUCAAGUGUUUAUUUAUAAUUAAGAGAGCUUAACUUGCAAAUCUGCACAUUGGAGAAGUCAAUCUAAGUUUACUAUAUUAGUAUUCUCGUUCGUAUUUUAGGGGGAAAUUAGUGGCUCUAUCUUAACUUUCAAAAGAUAAAAGAUUACAAAAGUUAUAUAUUGUUAUUGAAGAAAAUCAUUUCUAAAUGAGAGAAUUGAGGAAAUCCUUAACAAGAGAAGUCAACAAAGGUAGGCAAUUGACAUCAAACCACUGUAAUUAAUUAUUGUGUAAAUUUUAUUUUCAAUAUUACUAGCUUUCAUUUCAGAUUUUCUAAGUAUUGAUAUUUUUGAGCUAAUAGUAGCAUUUAAAUUCAGUAAGUUAAAAUUUGUCAUUAGUCUCUUAUUAUGUGUAGAUUAUGGAUUUAGUAACUAUUUUUUAAUUUGAUCAUUUUUAGUGUCAAUACUUGUCGAUUUUUAAAAUUUCAGUCUUGACUCAAAACAGUAGUUAUUAAAUUUAUUACUCAAGGGUGUGUUUGAUAAACAUUGAAAAUUUUUAACGUUUAAUAUUUUAAAUGUGUUUGAUAAUCAUUUUAAUUUUUUACUUAUCACUUAAUAUAGAAAAUACUUAGUUUAUUUUAUUUUAUUAAAAAAUUGAAAUGAAUUUUCUUUUUUUUAAAUUAAAUAUUCAAAUUAAUAUAUUUAUCUUUCAUCCAAAAUAAUAUGAAAUACUAUAUUAGUAACAUCAAAAUUAAAAAAUAUUAUUUUUUAAAAAUCACUAUUUACUUUUAUCAAUCAACAUAAUUAUAUUCAGAACUUAUAUUAACUAAUUUGCCAAACAAUUUUUUAAUAUAAACUCAACACUUUUGAAAUCUAAUAGUAAAAAUUUAAUAUUUAAUUUUUAGUUUAUCAAACACAUCCUAAGCAUUUAUCUAAUAAACCAUUAAAAAAAUAUUUUCAAUGAUUUUUUUUACAUGUGCUUGAUAGUCCAUAAUAAAAAUAACCCUAUAAAAAUUUCAAAUAAAAUUUAAUGGAAAAUAAUUUUAAUUAAUUAAUUCAAUUUUAAAUAUUUAAAAAUUAAGGAUAAAAUGUAAAAUAUUUUUCCAUAAUUUAAAAAAUAUAUAUAUAAGACAGUUUAAUUAUAUUUUGUACUUGACUUUAAGUGAUAUAUCAAAUAGAUUUUAUAACUUAAAUUUACAAUACUUAGUUUUUCAACACUUAAUUUUUUAGUUUAUUAAACAACACCUGAAAUAGCUUAUAUGACAUUAUACAUGCGAUAAUACAUUUGCCGUAUAAGAUUUUAGAAAAUAGCAUAAUUUAUAGGUUAUCAUUUGGGCCAGGAUUGAAAUUGUAAAAUUUGAAAUAUACAAAUACUAAAAAUGACUAAUAUCAUAAUAAAAGGACCAAAUUAACAAUUUGUGAAUAACAUAGGGACUAAUUGCAGAAUUUAACUAUCAAAUUAAUAGGAUUAAAAUUACAAUUUAAUAAUUAUUUUAUUGUAAUUUUUUGGUUAAAAGACACUUAUCCUCUUAGGUUUAGUGUUAAAUAUACUUACCCCUAUUGUCUCAACAAUGCUAUAAACUGCAUAGAGAUCUACUAAGUGUAACGCCCCAAUUUUCAGGAAUUCUGUGAAUGUUGGCAUAGGUUUAAUUAUGUUUGUGGGUCUCUAGAAGGCCCAAGCUUAAGAUAGAACCCGGUAAUUUUAGUUAAUUUUUGUUCCAUAAGAAAAAGGGAGUGAAAUUAUGAAAUAGGACCUAUGUGAAAAUGUUUGAAAAUGCUAUAGGCUAAUUUGUAGUGGCCAAAUAAAUAGAAGUGCAAAAUAGGAGGAUUUGCAUGACAAACCUCCCAUUUUACAUGAAGUGGCCAGCCAUCAUGUUGUUGUAGACAAUAUGAGCACUUGAUAUACAUAAUUCAUGGUACAAAUUGAUAAUAGGUUAGGUAAAUGUUCCAUAAUAAUGAAUUAGGUAAAUAUUUCAUGAUAAUGGGUUAGGUAAAUGUUCCAUGAUAAUUGUUUAGGUAAAUGUUCCAUGAUGGGCAUUUCAUGUCUUUUGUAUUAAAGAAUUAAAUGGAUGAAAUAUGAAAUUUUAUUAAAAGAAAAAGGGGUGAAAAGAACAAAGUUUUGUCCACCUUUGUUCAUCAUAACCGAAAGUUAGAGAAGAGAAAGGAGAGGAGAAAGCUCUUGAGUAUUCGGUCACUAGGAGGAGGAGAAUUGAAGGUAAGUUCUUGGUACCUUGCUUCUAUUUUGAGGUUCAUGAGUUCUUCUUGAUUCUACCUUAACUCUUGAAGCAUAUUUUGGUUUUUAGUUGCGUUGUGAGCAUUUAGUCAUGAAUUAAAAUGAAGGAAAUGGUUGUUGUUUCAUGUUCUUUUGAUGAAAAAUGGAAGAUAGGUGAAGUUGAGCCAAACAAAUGAGCAUGCAUGUGCCUUAGAUGCUAAAGGGAAAAAUCGGCUAACAUGUUGUGCUUUAAAAUGAUGAAAUGGAUAUUAUACUUAAGUAAAAUCAUAGAUAUGUGAUGAUUGAUUGGUGAUAUACAUGUUUAAAUAACAUGCAUGCAAGGUAUGUGUGAAAGAGUGAUUUGGUAACAAAUCUGCUUGGGAUAGCAGUAGUAACGUGACUUUGGAAAGUCACCAUAAAUUGUGGGAGAUGAAUUAGAAGCUGACUAAAUUAUGUAAUUAAAGCUUAUUGAGUCUAGUUUAAAAUGAAAUAAACAAUAACAUAUUUUGAAUUCUGUACAAUGAGAAAUUUGAUUCGUAAUGAAGAGAGGUCAGAUUAAUCAAAUAGUGAAGCAUGGGAAACUUUGAGAAAAAUCUGGUAUUGAUUGGAUAAACCAAAAAAUCUGAAAAUUUUAUGGAUAGAAGAUAUAUGAGUCUAUUUUCAGGGAAAUUAAUGGCACUUGAUUUGGAGUUUCGUAGCUCCAGUUAUAAAUGAUUUAGUGAUUGUUGCUCAGGAAGACAACUUGCAGUGAAAUUAUGAUUAUGUGGUAAACACUGACAAAAAUUUGUUAAUUAGUUGCUUAUUGAUUUCUUAUAAGCUUACUCUGAUCUGUAGGUGUGGUUGGCCGAAUAUUGUAAGGGGUUAAUACGUAGUUCGUAUUUGAAUAGUUAGAUUAACGUGUUAGUAAUCCAAUUGUAGGCGGUUCGUGUGUGGAUCUCGUCAGCAUAUCGUCGCAAACAGGUGUGUAAUGACACCCUCUCAUAGACUAGAUUGGCAAAAGCCGAAAUGCCGAAAUGCCGAAAUGCCGAAAAGUCGGUAUUUUGGGAAUUUGCGAGUGUGCGAAUGCUCGUAAGAUAGUUGGGUUUGUAUAUUUGGUAAUCUAAAGUAAUAAACUACAGUACGCGCGAUUUCGUACAUUUUGAUAAUUUGGGCUUAAUGGGUCAAAGAUCGAGUUCAUGGGCCAAUGGGCCCAAUUCGGUAAGUAUGCGCGGUAAGUGUUCUGAUAGUACGUAAAUAGUUAGGAUAUGCAUGAAAACCCUAAAAGUAGCUAAAUUACUAUAAUACCCCUAUGUAUGGAAAAUUACUGUUAUACCCCUAGGUGCAAAAUUACCGUUAUACCCCUAGGGUUAAUUUUGACUGAAAAGCAUGACGAUCUGAUUCUGUAUGAUGUAUGCCAUGAUUAUAUAUCUGUUGCAUAGGGACAUGGGUUAUAUUAUGGAGGAAGCGUCCUGGUGGCUAUGCCACAAUUAUCUGAUCUGGUGGCUCUGCCACAUAUAUCUGUUCUGGUGGCUAUGCCACGAUUAUCUGAUCUGGUGGCUCUGCCACAAUAUCUAUAUCUGGUGACUUCGUCACAAUAUCUGGCAGCCUCGCUGCGGUUUCUGUGGUGUGUAGCGGUUGGGUGGGUCUAGUAGUCUCCCCACAUGGUGUAAGGCUGGUACGGGGGUGUUAUGGAUGAAUCUGGGUUGGGUUUCUGCAUAAACAUGUAACGCUUCGAUGUGGCAUGUCGGAUCCGGUCAUAACGUCUGGGCCGGGUUUGGGGUGUUACACUAAGUAAAUUUCAAAUAAAAAGACAAUUAUACCUUUGUUAUUAUUUAUCUAUGUGUUUACUAUUUAGUUUUUUCUUUUAUCUAUUUUAAUUAUUAAAUAAUCAAAUUUUAAUUACAUAUUUGUUAUAAAAUAAAGAGAGAUGAUGAGAAUAAAGAAUAAAGAAAAUAUGAAAAUAACAGAGAAUGUACUUUAUUAAUCAAAUGGAUGAUUACAAUGCUUCGUCAGAGUCUCUAUUUAUAAGCAUAAGAAGUAUAAAAGAAGUAGAGAUCUAAUUCUAAUAACUAUUAGAAUUUAAAGUACAUUAAAACUUUAUCUUGAUCAUGAUGGACAUUCACUUAAUAAGAUAUUCAUAACACUCUCCCUUAGAUGUCCAUUAGUAGCCUUGUUAAAACCUUAUUAGGAAAAACCCUGUGGGAUAAAAACCUAAUAAAGGAAAAAGAGUACACGAUCUAUAAUAUGUUACCUCAUUAAAAACCUUACUAGGAAAACCCAAUGGGACAAAACCUCAGUUAAGGGAAAAAAAGUACAACGCGUAUUUACUUCCCCUCAUGAAAACAUAACAUACUUUCUCAUAUUCUGCGUAUUCAAUCUUGAAUACUAGUUUUUUAAAUGACUAUUUGAAUGUAUUGCUAAGCAUAUAUACCACCAUUCUUUUGAAAUCAUGAGUGAGGAAAAAUUUUGGGGAAACAUAUUUUGAUCUUUUCAGGAAUUUCAAUAAUAAUCAUAGCAAACUUUAAUCACGAUCCUUCUAUAAAAAUACAAAUAGGUAUUUUGAAUCAUUUUACAAUCCUCUUUCAUCUACUAUUGACUAAGUCAAAUUUACCACAUAUGUUCAAUUAUUUCAAUUCAUAUAAAUGAAAAAUUUCCCGAGAAUUUUAAUAUGCUUCUAGCAUUUUAAAUCCUUCAAGGAUUUUAAUAUAAACUUUACUAUAUAGUGAUUCAUAAAAGGUUGUAACAAUAUCCAUUAAACCCAAGUUAAAUCGUUUAUGAAUUGUCAAUUUAAUAAUACAUUUAAAGGUUAUUACAUCCACCACAAAAGAAUAUUAUAUCUUUUCAUAAUUAAUGACUGGACUUAGCAAAAAAAUUCAUAUUUUUAUUCCGUUUUUGCAAAACUGCUUUAAUUGCAUUUUUACUGGCUUUAUACCUUUAGAUAUUUGGACUACUGGUCCAAAAACUCCACAAAUUUAAUUUUACUUGAGUUGCGUCUUUCUAUUUUGAUCAAUUUAUUCUAUAUCUAUAUUUCUCAAUAGAUUUAUUCAGGAUCUUCAUUUUAUUUCAUUAUAAUAAUACUGCAUGCAAAAUCAUUGUCAACCACUUUUAUUAUUUGGUUCCACAUUUUCUCGAAUUGACAUAACUUUUCGAGAUCUCUUAUUUUCAUUAUUUUAAAAUUCAGUUUCAGGUACCUAAAUCUCUUCUAAAGUUUUAUUUAUUAGUUAUGUCUUGGGUCUCUUCUGGAGCACCCGCCUCCACUAUAUGACCAUCUAGAAUAAUUUUCAUAUAUGGAACUGAUCAAUCUAUUAUUUAUUCAAAUUGAUUGUCCUACAGGGACUUUGAAUCAAAUUAAAAUAUUAGAUGGUAUAUAACACUUGGUUAUUCUCAUUAAGUUUGUAAAUACAUCUAACAGUUAACUUGUAAUGAGUUAUCCUUAUUGAACUUCUGAUUCAAAUUAUUCUCCCCCUAACUCAUUACAAGUUAUUAUUUCUCUCCCCCUAAUGUAGGGAAAACUAUCGAAUCAAAAUUGUAAUCACAAAUAAACUUGUAAUUAAUAUAUAUUCCCAACUUUCUCUCAGGAUUCACUCAUCUUUGUGCCUUGGAGCAAUUGGAACAUAUACGUACAUACAAAAAUUCAAAGAUGAGAAAUAUUUAGGUAUUGAUCAAAAACCAAUUGUAAUGGGCAGUAUUUAUAAUUUAUUAGCUUGAUGCGUAUGACACGUAAAUCAACAUAAUUUCAUGUAGAAAUAAAAAGUUUAGUUUUCAUAAGUAAUUGUUUAGCUAUUAGUUUGAGGCAUUUGAUAAACAAUUCAGUUAAAUCAUUUUGUCUGUGAACAUGAGCUAUAGGAUGUUCAACUUUUAUCUCAAUUGACAUGCAAUAAUCAUUAAAAACUUGGGAUGUAUACUUACCAACAUUAGCAAGAUGAAUUGUUUUAAUUGCAUAAUAUGAAAUUAAUCAUUUAAACAAGCAAUCUCACAAACGACAGAUUGCGAGUUAAUAAUGCAUGUGAUUAUUUUGUAGAUUCAUCUACAAAAAUCAUAUAAUAUCAAAACCAUCCACAUGGUGGAUGAAUAGGCCCAUAUUUGUUUCAAAAAUGCAAGACAUUAAAUAUCAACUUUAGUUAGUGAGUUAAUAAUCAAUUUUCAUUAAGAACAAGCAACACAUGAGAAUUCUUUUAAAUUAAAUAAUCUUCUGGUUUUUUAAUGGAUGUCCAUAUGAUAUCUCAAUUAAUUUUCGCAUCAUAUACGAUCCAGGAUGGUUUAACUAGUCACGCCAAGUAGUAAACACAUUUGUAUUAGUAAACUUUUGAUUUACUUUAACAUGCAUUUUAAUUGUACUAACAAUGUUAAUAUAAAUUGUGACAAUUUGAUACUUUUACUGUUUUUUUCUUUGUAUCCACAUAUAAGUAAUAUUAUGACAUUUACUACUGAAAAUGUCUAAAUCAAUGUGAAGUUUAUAAUACCACUAAGUUAAUAAAUAUAAUUUCUAAAUAAUUAUAUGCAGUAUUCGCUUCAGGGAAUAUGCCAAAAUCUUCAAAUGCCCAAAAAACUAGUAAUAUCAAAUUUUGAGAGUGACUCUUAUUUUCCAGGUGUACAACAGGUACAUAAUCAAUGACUUUUCAUACAUAAGUUUCUCUUGCAAGUUCUCAUCAGUAAUAUUUUUCCACGUAAUUUUAAUUGAGAACUUAUUUUGAAUACUGUAGAAUAUACUUAGUUUCUAAAAAAACUUGUAACUUUAGGUGCAUCCAACCAUAAUGAACUUUAGAUAGAAUUAUCAUAUUCUAUUACUCAUAAGUAGAUCUUUCACAAUAAAAAAAUUUACAAUUUCAACCCCUUUAAUAGGGAUGAUGACAAAAGAAUAUCACAAAGAUUAUAAAUUAAUAACCCAAUCCCCUUUCUUUAUUCAUAUGAAAUAUAAUAUUUUCCUCAUUCACAAUCUCCAUAUGAGAUCCAUUAUGAAUAUCUUUUAAAACCAAUGGAUUAACGAUCAUAAAGUAUUAAUAUAUUAGCUCUUCUGGAGCUUUCGACUAAUUUUAUACUACCAAAUAUUGAAAUAAUAUUGGUUUGUUUCAGUACCAAAUAAGAUAAAUAUAUUCUAUCUGUAAUGAUAGAAUUCAUUACUACAUUUUUAUAUCAUUCCCCAAAAAAUAUUAACGGAAACAAAAUAUUUGGGUAUACGCCACAUAUGUGGCCAAUAAUCUUUCAUAUCACAUUGAUAACAUAAGUUAUCUUUACCGUUUAAAAAGUUAUCUUGAGAACUCUCAUUGCUCUCUUAUUUAUUAUUAUGUUCCCACUUUUAGCGGUCCAUUAGUAUAUAUUUUAUUUUCUUUAUGUUUACAUUCACUUCGGCGAAUGCAACAAAUCUAGUAGGACGGACUUAUAACAUGCGUGGAUUUUAAAUUAAAAUCUAUCUAUUCAUGUUGUCAUGAUUAGUCUCUAAUUAUAAUAAAUACGAUAUAAUAAAUAAUUCAUAGUAAAAUAUACCUGAAGAUCUUUAAUAUUAUCGUCAUCACUAGAAGGUAUGAGAUAGUUUGAAAAUAUUCUUGAUUUCAUAUAGAUAACGGUAUCAAAUCUUUCACCAUCCUUAAGAACAAAAAGUAAAAUAAGUUAAUCAAAAUAAUGAUAACAUCUAAUGAAAGAAGAAUGAAAAAUAAUAAUCAGAUAUGAAAUAUUAAAUAAAAGAAACUUCUUGUAAAAACUUUGCAUUUUGCCGUCAAAGAAAUUGAAAAUAAUGGAGGAUAAAUUUGAUCAUCGAUAAAAAGAACUAUCACUUUGAGCAAGAUCGUGUUGAUAACGUGUUAUAAAAUAAAAAGAGAUGGAGAGAAUAAAGAAUAAGGAAAAUAUGAAAGCAAUAUAGAAUGUACUUUAUUGAUAAUAAAAAAGUGAUUACAAUGCUUCAUCAGAGUCUCUAUUUAUAUGCAUAAGAAUUAUAUUAAAACUAUUAGAAUUUAAAAUACAUUAAAACUUUAUCUUGGUCAUGAUGGACAUUCAUUUAAUAAGAUAUUCAUAACAAUAUUGAAGUUUUUUAAAAUUAAAUGUAUUUACCUUCUUUUAUUAAAAUUUUUAUAUUUUACUUUCAAAAAAAUUUAUAUUUUAUUUAAAUUUAAUUUAAUUUUUUAAAUUAUAUUUAAUUCAAUUACAUAUCAAUCUUAAGAUGAAUUUAUUAUAUUAUUUUACGUAAUAUCAAUCAGUUACUAGUACUAAGAAUGUUGAAAUGAAAAUUUGAUUAAAAUAUAGAUUUAAAAAAUUAUCUCAAAGUUAAUAUUUUAAAUAAUUAAUUAAAUAUUUCACAUGUAUUUGUAUAAAAUUAAACAAGAAACAAAAAGUACGAGAUGACAAGAAUAAAAUAUAAUUAUCACUCCAUGAGUCCAAAUCCCACAAAGAGCUAACAUUGAGAUUUCGUUGGCAGAUGAUCAUGUGCGUCUGCUUAGUCCCCUUAUCAAGCACCAAACUAGAUACUCCUAUUUUGUGAACUCGUUAUCUCUUUAAACACUUAGGCUCUUAUUAGAGUUUAGAGACAAAACUUCUAUUGGAGACAAUAUCAACACAUUAAAGGGUUCGUCUACUCCUAAUGGGCAACACUUUGCAGAUUUCUCUUAAAGAAGUCAUUGUACCACCAAAAAGGCUUAGCUUAAUGGUAAGGUUUAGAUAUUGGAAACUUUAAGAUCUCAUGUUUGAGUCUCAAUUUAUGUAAACCAGUGUGGGUUCUCAAUCUAUAUUUAUUAUGGUUUUCGUCUCACUAUAUGUGAACUCUGCAUAAAUUUAUUUUAAUUUUGGUUUAAAUAUAUUCCAAUUAUCAGUUUGAUUGUGUUUAUAAUGAUUAAUUUUGCUUAUAGUUAUUCCAUUGUAUGUGUAAUUUUUAAAAAAAAGAAGCAUAUAUUAAUUGAAUAAUACAUUAUGUCUAACAUAUAAUUACAUUAGAAUAUAAUACAAUUUAUAAUGUAAUUUAAUAAUAAUUAAAAUAUUUUUGUAACUAAUUAAUUUUUUAUUUUUUAAUUAAAAUUAUUGAAGAUUGAAUAUAACAAAAAAAAUAGAAUAAUAGUUAACAAAGGGAUAAAAAAAAGUCUUUUUAUUUAAAAUUCAUUUAAUAAAUAACCUUUAGGAACUAUUAAAUUUUUCAUGAAAUAGAGGCAAAUCCGGGGGCUCGUAGGGGCUCGAACUCCCUAAAAUGGAAAAUUACUAUUUAGGUUAUUUAGAAAUUUUUAAAAUUUUAAAUUAAUAAAGGUAAAAUUAUACUUUGGCCGCCUUAAAAUUAUAAAAAUUUAAUUUAAUAUUUUAAAAAUUAUAAAGAUAUAGACUAUUAAAAAUUAAAAUUUCAUUUCGACCACCCUAAAAAAUUUUUUUGGCUUCGUCCCUUUCAUGAAACCUAUAUUUUUUUUAGAGAGAAAUAUUUUUUUUGAUCUCUUGCUUUCAAGAAAGUUUUCAUUUUGGGAAAUAAAAAAUAAAUAUUAAUAUAAAAAAUCAAAAUUUUCUUAAUUAAAUUAUGUGAAAUUAUUAACAAUAGGGAUGAAAAAUAUAUAAUUGAAGUGGUAUUUUAUUAUAAUUAUUUUUAGUCUCCUACUUUUUAGGCUUCACUUUGUCUCUUAAAAGAAGAACUCACUGCAGUUUUAAUCCCUCAACAAAAUGGUCAUUAAAAAAAAGAACAGAAAGAAAAACCUGUAAAUUACUUUUUACGCAUGCAAUAUUUAAAUUUUAAACAAUUUACAAUGUUUAGAGAUUUUUUAAACUGACCCACAGCUAGACCUGUCGCUGACCCGCUAGACUCGGUCCCGGUCCGUGUGUGGAUAAAAUAUAACCCGGGUCGAUUCCUUCCGGUUAGAAUUACUGUUUAAUGAUUUUAACAUAUUUUUACUCUAAUUAGACUAAUUUAAUAAUAAGGCUAAACUAUACUCAAUGUCAUAAAACUAUAAGUAAGUUUGUAUUUUGAUUAUUUAGUUUUAAAAAGUUAUAAAAUAAUUAUUAAACUAUUUGAAAGUUUUCAUUUAAGUCACUAGAUUGUUAGUUUGAAUUACUGUUGUAUGGUGUUUUUUUUGCACCGCUUGCAUCAAUCGAAAGUUCUUCUCCUCUUUCUCUUCUAUAAUUUAGUUUUUUUUCAAGAAACAGUUUUAAAUGUUAUAAAUCUACGAACCAAAAUCCAAAUAGCUUUAUUCUUUUAUUUUCAACACUGACUGUUAAUUUGACUUGGAUUCUAUCAUAUGUUCUUUUACUCGUUAAUGAGUAUUAGUUCAUCAUACUAAUCAUCGAAUCAUCACUUAAAGUUCGCUAGCCACACUUUAGAAAAAAAAAAAACCUUAACAUUAACUUAAAUGAGAACUUUUGAAUAAUUUAGUGACCAUUUUGUAACUUUUUUGAAGUUGAAUGACCAAAACGUGAAUUUACUAAUAAUUUAGUAACAUUGAAUGUAGUUUACCCUAAUAAUAAAUAUUAAUAAAAUAUUUUUUUAUAAAUUGACUACUUUGAUUCCUAACCUUUCUUCACUCCUCAAAUUGGAGAAAAUAAUGCGCUUAAUCCACGUUCUCCUUGUUGCUAUAAUAAUAACUAUGCCAAUUGAGCUAAGCUUAAUCAAAAUAUUAUUAAAAUAUUAUUUUUUUACCUUCCAUGUAUAUGUUCAAAUUUCGUAAUUGUUCCUCUCAAUAAUAUCGUCCUCAAAAUUUAAACCAUAUUUUUUCCUUAGAAAUUACAGUAUGACAAAAUUUUCACUUCAAUUCAUAUUUUAUAAACCAAUUGACUUGGCAUAUAAUUGUUACUUGUUAAUAUUUUACAUGUUUAUUCUUUUAAAAUGAUUCACAUACAUACAACAUAUAUUAUAAGGGUCAGCGAUAGUUAAAUUUCAUGUCAGAUACUCGUUUAAUAUUGGUUCAAAUAAUGUGACACCUAUCUCCUACUCCAAUAAAAAAAAAUUCAUUCAUGUUAAAUUAUUAAAAAGUAUGGAAUAAUGUUGAAAUAAAUUAUUUCGAAAAUAAUUAUUUAAUUUUUUAAAGUAUUAUUUUACAAACAUUAUAAAUUUUAAUAUAUUUUAAUAGAUAAAGUGGAAACCAAUUAAUUAUAUAUAUUCGUCUUUAACUAGGUAUCAGUUAAUGUUUCCCAAAAAGAAAUUCUUAAAUAAUGUCACUAUGUAUUACUUAAUGUUGUCCCUAAAAAUAUUAUAAAAGAAAUAUAACGGUUCCCCCAAAAAAGAAUAACAUUAAGGAAAAAAAUAAACAACAAAUAACCCCUUUUUUUAGCGUCUAAGUUUUUAUACUACAUUUAUAUUUUUAUAGGUAAGAAUGUAGAUAGUACAAGUUGAGAAUUUUAUGGUAAGAGUUAUAUUUUGUUUUGUUUUUUAUUUAAAAAAAUAAAUAAAUUAAUAUUUACAUGUUAGAUUAAAGAGUAAAAUGAUUAUUUCUAUCAAAAGUUUCAUCUAUUUCUACAGUAAAAAAUUGGUGUAGAUGAGAAAAUAAUAAGACAGUUAUAUAUGGCAUGCUAUGUGUACUUCAUGUUAAUAUAAAAUGACAAGAUUUUAAUAAUAGAAGUGGAUGGAUUUUUAAUAGAAGGAUCAGUUCACUAUUUGACAUAAUGUACAAUGAUCAAUUUGUUUAUUUGUAAGUAGAAAUGACAAAAUAUAAUCUGACUUUUAGUAUAACUUUUACUUUUUUUAUAUUAUAUCUCUCUUCAAAAAGCUUUAUAUUAUAUAAAUUUAAUUUAAUUUGAAUUUAAUUAUAAAAAAUAUGUAAAAAAGCUUAAAUAAAUUUGAAGUAAUAAAAUAAGUUAUUGAAUUCUUUCGAGUGCAGGUUAAUUAUCUUUUGAUACGUAUAAUUUUAAUUUUAAAUGGAUAUAAAGUAAGUUAAGUUUAAUUAUGUAUAUUUAUAUAAAAAAAAUUAUUUUAGAAAUACAAAAAAGUCAAAAUAUAUUAAUUGGAAUAGGUACAAUGUAGCAGCCAGCACAAGCCAGGCAGCAUGCGUAACUUUGGUAAUUUUAAUGCUUUAUUUUAUGUAUUUUGUCUUAAUUAAUUAUUAGGGAUGGAAUCUUUUUCAAGUAACGAGAAAAAAGAAAUCAAAGUUUUCGAUCUAAUCCUUUUUUUUUUCUUUAAUCCUUGGGCUUCAAAUAAUAUUAAUAAUAAGGGUAAACUAUAAAAAUAGUCACUUUUAUUUGUCUCAGAUUACAUUUUAGUCACUUACGUUAUCAUUUUGUUACGAAGUGGUUACUCUACCGUUAAACUCCAUUACCUCCCUAACGGUAGUCCUACGUGGUAGUCUAAAUAGAUUUUAAAUGUCAACUUGGAUGCCCAAUUGCUAGGAUGAAAAUAUAUUUUUAAUUAAAUAAAUUUAAUUUGGAUUGCCAAGUAAGACAUCCAAGUUGGCAUUUAAAACCCAUUUGAACUACCACGUAAGACCGCCGUUAGGGAGGUAACAAAGCUUAACGAUAGAGUGGACACUUCAUAACAAAAUAAUAACGUAAAUGACUAAAAUGUAAUCUGAUACAAACAAGAGUGACUAUUUUUGCAAUUUACCCUAAUAAUAAUUAGUCUGAGUCGAGUUCAAAUAUUGGCAAGCUUGAUUUGAAAAUUGAAAUUCAAUAUUCGGUUUGAGUUCGAUCGAGUAUUUAUUUAUAACCUUGAGUUUGAUUAAACUCGUUAAUCAAUUUCCAUAUUCAAGCUUCAUUAAACUCCUACGUAUUUAAGUUUGAGUUCAUCUUGAUAAUUAAGCUUAGAGUUAAUAAUGUAGGUUAAAGGCUAUAACAUAUUUUGAUAAUAUAAAAUAUUCAAAAUAUAUAUUAAAAUGAAAAAGUUUGAUAUGGCUCGCGAGCCAUUUGAACUAAAUAUUACUAAGAUCAAAUUCGACUCGGAUUGAUAGCUUGAAUUCGAUUUGAUAAUUACCAACUUGAAUUUUUUUUAUUUAAAGUUAAAAAAUUUAUUAAAUUAAGACUGGAGGAUCAUGCAAUUAAAUAACAAAUUUGGUUUUGAUUAUAAAAUUAAAUUUAGUGAUCAUUCAAAGAUUUUAGUUAUGGAAUUUUCGAGCUACUACACUAAAUAUAUAAUUUUAGUAAGCAAGGGCUGUUUUUCUUAUUUCUUUUAAUUAAAUUAACAUCAUAUGUCUUUUAUUUUUUUCAGUAUAUAAAUUUGUUGCAAUUAUUUAUUACAUAAUGUAUUCUUAUAAUAUUUGCAAGCAAUUGUAUUUACUUAUAUCCAUUAUUGAGUCUUAACUCGAUUGAUAUGGACAUUGUUGCUAACGUAAGAGAACGUGAGUUUGAGUGUGCUGAAGUGCAUUAUCCUCUUGUUUAUGGGUUGGAAAGAGACUAUGGGUAGUUCUACCCAUUAUGUCAAAAAAAUAAAUAUAAUCAAAACUUAUGAUGAGAUUAUUCAAAAAAAUAUAUGUAUAAGAAUAACAGCAAAAAAUAAGAAAAUUUAGAUUUAAAAAAAAACAAGUGUUUAGAUUUUUAAUGUAUUAAAAAAAAAAAGUCUUAUUCUUUGAUUUGUAUAAAAUAAUCAUUUAUUUAAAGUGAAACAUUAUUUUAUAGUGAGAGUUUAGUUGAAUACAAAUUAAAUGUCAAAGAGUUUAUUUGAAUAGAUUUAAGGGUUUAUUUCUUAAAAUAUUUAUAUUUAACAUCUAUAUUUGAAAAAUCAUUUUUUGAAAUAUUAAAAAUAAAUAAAUGAAGCCAAAUAGAAACACACAACUUAUCCAACAUUCACUCCUAAUCUGGAUUUUGUCAAUAUUUUUUUGUUAUUAAUUUCUGCCUUAACUUUGAAAAAUAAAUAAAUAAAUUGUGCCUUAAUAUGCCAUAGGUCACUAUGCUAUUUACAAAUUCAGAAUUUAGUCCCUGUACUUUUAUUUCCAAGAAUUUAAUCCUUCUACUAUCUAAAUUUCAAAAUUUAGGUGCAACAGUCAAUACUAUUAAAUUUUUUGUUAAAUUUGUUGGUGUGACAUUUUGAAAUUAAAAGAAAAUUCAUUUGGCAGUAAUGUAAUUAAAAAAAAGGUAUUGUAAUUAACUUGAAUUUAACAAAAAGAUAAAAAAAGUUAACAGUUGAACUUGAAUUUUGAAAUAUGAAAGUAAAGGGACCAAAUUGCUAGAAUUAAAAGUAUAGAGACUAAAUUUUAAAUUCACCAAUAGUAUAAGGACUUAUUUUAACCAUUAUAUAAUUAAAUUGUGAAGGGAGAAAAGUUGCUUUCAAAGAUUACAAAUUGACUGGAAAUUAUUUGUUUAAUUGUUGAUAGGCCAUUGGACCACAGACCACAAUGACAAAUCAGUCAGUCAAAUUUAUUUCAAACCCAAACCCUAGCCAUCAUUUCUUCAUCAAUAAAAUACUAUUAUGAUUACCCUUAGAUUAUUAGCAAUUAGUUUCGAGAUUUUGUCAUAUACCCUCCAAGUUGGAUGAUACAUUCAUCAUUGUUUUAAAUUUGGUUAAAAGAUGUUUUAAAGUCUCCGUACUCUUCAUACAUUUGUAAUUUUUUAUUUUUAAAAAUUUAGUCCCUCUAUUUUUUGAAUUUAAAAAUACAAAUCCAAUUAUUAAUGCAAUUAAAAUUAUUCAAAUUCAAAUUCAAAUCAAUUACAAUAUUUUUUUUACAGGGCUACCAAGUGAUUAUUUUUAUUAAUUCAAAAUAUCAUACCAACGAUUUUAACAUAAUAUUUUUAAUGAUUUAAACAAUUGAACUUGAAAUUUUAAAUCCGAAAAAUAAAGGAACUAAAUUCCUAUAAAUAAAAGUAAAAUGGACUAAAUUUCAAACAUGCAAAAACUACAAUGAUUUGGAACAUAUUUUGACCUUUUAAUUUUUUUUUUCGUAAAAGUAUUAAAAUAAAAUAGUUUUAUCAGUUUGGUUGUUAAAUGCAAAAUCAUACAUUACGUAAGUUUCUAAAUUUUAACAGCAUUGUUGGUUUGUUUUAAUAGGUUAGAUCUGAAAUAUUCCUGCAGUAUGAAUAUAUCGGAUCUGAAAUAUGCUCUAAAAGUAUUAUGAAUGUUAUUGUAUUAAGAGUUAGAUUGUAUUUUGUUCUCUCUAUUCAAAUUAUUUGUUCUCUUUACUCAAAUUAGUCCUUACACGUUACAUCAACAAGUAAAUUAGUCAUUCUCUUAAAAUUUUUUAUCUAUUUCUACUAUUAAAAAUUGGUCUCUAUAUAUUAGCAUGAGAUACAUGUGGCACACCACGUGCCACUAUUUAGUUAUUUUGUUAAUCACACUAAUUUUUAAUAAUAUAAAUAAAUAAAUUUUUAAUAAAAAAUACUAAUUUAUUUUUUAAUAUAAUAUACAUAAAUUAAUUUAUCGGUUUUUAAAUAGAAUAAGUAAAAUGUAAUAGAACCUCUAAUAUUUAAUAUCGCUGAUGGAUAAGUUAACAUAGCAGCUUUUGAUAUAUAAAAUAUAUAAUAUUAUAUAUAAAGUAGCCAGGUAAGGAGAUUGAAAUGGGUUAUAAAAUCUAAUAGGAUUCCCUUCCAUUAUUUGACAUUAUUACUCAGAGAAAUCUAAAAACCACCAUAGACAUGGGAGGUGAAACGUGUGGAGAAAUGGGGUUUGGGGCUUCAUUGAAAAAGCUCUCAAAUUCAUGGAAGAAAAUAGAAAUGAGUGUCAAUGAUGCAGUUUCAAAGAGCAAAGUUGGCAAGUUCUUCAAGCUUGAAGCAAGGAAAACUUGUUUCACAAGGGAACUAAGAGCUGGCACAGCGACUUUCUUAACAAUGGCUUAUAUCAUCACGGUCAACGCCACCAUCAUCGCUGAUUCCGGUGGCACUUGUUUGAUGGCUGAUUGUACGGUUCCGGGUAACCAAACGGCAGCUUCGCCGGAUUGUAUGUUGAAGCCUAAUCUGGGGUACGAUAACUGUGUAUCGAAAACCAAGAGUGAUCUUGUUGUAGCCACUAUUUUAUCAGCCAUGAUUGGGUCAUUUGCAAUGGGAGUGUUAGCCAAUUUGCCAUUAGGGUUAGCUCCUGGUAUGGGACCUAAUGCUUAUUUGGCUUAUAACUUAGUGGGGUUCCAUGGAUCUGGGUCUAUAUCAUAUCAAACAGCCUUGGCAGUGGUUUUAAUUGAAGGGUGUGCUUUUCUAGCCAUAUCAACAUUAGGGGUUAGAGCCAAGAUAGCUAGGCUCAUGCCUAAACCGGUUAGGUUAGCUUGUGGGGCAGGGAUUGGUUUGUUUAUUGCAUUUGUAGGGUUACAGAUACACCAAGGGGUUGGCCUUAUAGGACCUGACCCAACCACAUUGGUCACUAUCUCAGCUUGUGCUAAAAUUGACCCUAUUUCAAACACUUGUGUAGGGGGCAAAAUGAGAAGCCCCACAUUUUGGAUAGCCAUGGUGGGGUUUUUAAUGACUUGUUAUGGCUUAAUGAGAGAGAUUAAAGGAAGUAUGAUUUACGGUAUUUCAUUUAUCACAUUAGUUUCAUGGAUUAGAGGGACUUCGUUUACAAUUUUCCCAAAAACCCCACUAGGUGAUACAAAUUAUAACUAUUUCAAAAAAGUAGUGGAUUUUCAUAAAAUAGAGUCCACUUUUGGGGUUAUAAGUUUUAGUCAUUUCAAUAGGUCUGAAGUAUGGAUUGCUUUAGUCACAUUGUUAUAUGUUGAUGUGCUUGCUACAACUGGUACAUUAUACACCAUGGCUGAAAUUGGGGGGUUUUUGGAUGAUAAAGGGAGUUUUGAAGGUGAAUAUUUAGCAUACAUUGUUGAUGCUAGUUCGACUAUCGUCGGUUCGGCGUUAGGGGUUUCACCUGUAGCUACUUACGUUGAAUCAUCUGCCGGGAUUAAAGAAGGGGGUCGAACAGGAUUAACUGCUGUCGUUAUCGCCUUUUAUUUCUUCUUAUCGUUGUUUUUUACGCCGUUGUUGACAAGUGUACCACCAUGGGCUAUUGGACCUUCAUUAGUGAUUGUUGGUGUGAUGAUGAUGAAAGUGGUGAAAGAUUUAAAUUGGGAGAAUAUUAAAGAAGCAGUCCCUGCUUUUGUUACAAUGUCGACUAUGCCAUUGACUUAUUCUAUUGCUAAUGGCAUUAUUGGUGGUAUUGGGGUUUAUAUUGCACUUAGUUUAUAUGAUUUAAUGUUGGGGUUUAUCAAAUGGGUGAAUAAGAUGAGGAAAAUGGUGAUCAAAGAACAAAAUCAAGUGUCCAAUGGGGUUGAAUCAAUGGUUGAAAUCAUUUGAAUUUGUAGAGAAAAAAAAACAAGUUUUUGAUUAGUAUGAUGCAAUUUUCUUGUUAAAAAUUAUGUGUUUGUUAUUUAUUUAUUUAUUUUGUUUUUGCAGGAAAAUUGUUUUGUAAUAUCAUAGUUUUUGAGUGUCUUUUAAUAUAAAAGAAGCUCCAUUUUAUUAUUCUAAUUAAAUUUAAUUGCAUCAAAUAUCUCUAAAUUAUAAUUUUCAUUUUAAAUUGGCCUUUAGACUUAAAAAUAUUUUAAUUACAUUAUCAAAUUAUUGGUGUUAUAUUGUUAAGAUCAUUCCGUUACUAUAAAUUGUUAAUUUAACCAUUAAAUGAAAUCUCAAAUAUUAUGUGACAUAAUUUAAAAUAAAAAUUUUAAAGAAAAAUUAAUAUGAUAAAAAUAUUAGUUUUUAGAUUUUUUAAACUUUUACAAAAACCAUUAUUCAUUCUUUUUUUAGUUUUACUUUAUUUUUAGUUUUUAAUUUUAAAAUUUAUGCAACAACAUUUUACAUAUUGAUAUGAAAUUAAUAGUUUGAGAAGAUAAUUAAAAUGUUUUAAAGUUUUAGGACCAAUUCAAAAUUAGGGCAAUAGUUUGAAGACGUUUGUGCAAUUAACUCAUUAAAAUAUUAUGAUAUUUCAAAAGUAAAAGAUAUAUAAGCCGCACCGCCACCCGCCCCGGCUGUGGCCCGGCCCUAGAAGUAAAAGAUGUUCAAACUUUCACUUGCAUUAGUUCCUAAGAUAACGUAAAAAAUCUGCCAUAAUUUACAUUUUUCUGGAUUUCAUUUUCAGCUUCAAGCACUAGCACUAGCACUAGCACUAGCAAAAACAAUACAUUUAAGUAUAUAGUGUUCAUAUAUAAUGACAUUCCCUGAAAAGUUUAUGGCUACCGAAACACGAAGAAAGAGGUCAAAUCGACUUUUCCGGUUGAAAAAAAGGGAAAAUUCAGAAUCCUUGAUAAUAAUGUGAGAGAUCUAAGUGGUAUGGACCUUUGAUCGAAGAAUCCUUGUUUUACACAGACUGCUGAACUGCGGUAUCAGCACGGUUUCUUCUGGCAAUUCCAGCUUGUUCUGUAGCAGUGGAAUGGCUGAACGGUCGAGGCUGAUCUAGUCCGGACACUGUUGGAGGAGUUGCCUGUAUUGAAUGGUCAAAUUUACAGGCUGGCCCAAAUUUGCAAAUGCCGUAUCGACUAUAGUAUGAGCAGAUGCUUUGAUCCUGGAUUCCAAAAAUAUGAAACCGAGAAAGCAUUAAACGUUAAGCACGAUGAGAAAUGAGAAUUUAUUGGGUAUAAGUAUCAUGGACGCCCUAGUAUAAUUACAUGUUGUCUCCUCUACUAAAUAAAUUUCAUCUAUUUCUAAUAUUAAAAACUGAUCCCUAUAUACCAAUAUGAAGCACAUGUGACACGUCACGUGUAACCAUCUGGUUAUUUCGUCAUCCAUGUCAAUUUUUAACAGUAAAAAUAGAUGAAAAUUUUAAUACAAAAAACCAAUUGACUCCUUUUUUUGAGUAAAGGAGACAAAAUGCAAUCAACUCUUAGUACAAGAACUUCCAUGGUACUUUUACCGAAUUUAUUGUCUUCACCAAAAACAUGAAUUAUUUGCAGGAACUAAAUGCUAAAAGAGUAAUGUAUGUUAUCAGGGUUAAUCUCGGAGCCUAACGGUACAUUUGGUUUUAAUCGUUGCCUAGUUUAUAUGAAUCAAGUUGCAACUUCUAAAAUAUGCAAUUUUUUGUUGAUUUCUAAUAAGGAGCAUGUUUCAAAAUACAAGAGGAGAUACGGAGAGUUGGAAUUGCACUAUCUAGGUAUGAAACAGGAAUUGUGAAACAUUUGUAGUUACGUGAAUUACGUAUGUUUUCAUUUUCCACAUACAAAGAAAACUUUAAAAGUAUUUACCUGGUUUAUAUAUAUUUCAAAAGCAGCACAAUCUAAAAGAGAAAAAACUUACGGGUCUCAAUGGCAGGCCCUUGUCGCUGAGAGCACAUGGAGUCGGCUUUGGAACACGAUUUUUUGGAUGAUGAUAUUUGCAAUUAGAUUUGAACUUACAGUCCCCAGUUUUGAGGAAGUAACUGCACUCGGGUUGGCCAGGCCGUUCAGGGAAAUCAUCAACCACCAUCUGUGGCUGAUGAUGAGUAUAGGCAGUGGUUUCAGUUGAUGGGUUGCUCAUUACAUACGCUGGAGUUGGAUGCAAACCCCUUUCCAAUGGGGGAUAUAGCGUUGUCUUGAUAAGGCACAACAAAAUCAACUCAUUAUGCAGAACCAUAUUGGUUAUAAGUUUUCAUUAAGCAUAUCUAAUUUCUGGGAGAAGAAAAUAAUAUGCAGAACCAAUUUCAGACCUACGAGGCAAUGUAAAGCAUGGGCUUCUUUAAGAAUAGGUCGUGGUAAAAUAAACAAAAGGUAAAAAAGUCAACCAAGCAAUAAAUACCCAUUCGACAAAGGUUCUACUUGGCCUACUUUGGUGCAAGUCUAUUUUAGAGCCAAAUAAAACAAUCCAUCAUCCAUGUAACUUAACCAACAUCAAGGUUCUACUUAGUCUACUUUGGUGCAAGUCUCAACAUAUUAGACUACGACAAAGAGUGAAUAUAACAGUUUUCUUCAGUUGAAUAAGCAUGAAAAUGGAAUGUUUUUCCACAUCCUGUGCAUUGUCUCUACAUGAAUCUGCUUACAUUUGCAAGUAUUUCAGACCUUGAGAUAACAAAGUGACCAAACUGCAUGAUGAGAAAAGUGAAAGUAGGAUUUUCAACAAAAACCUUGAAGCCGGCCAAGUAUAAUAUGGUUUUUGCUAACAAGUUCCUUACAUGCACUUCUUUAAGUUAGUUUUAAAUACCAUUUAUACUGAUUCUUUUGUAUUAAUGCAGAAAAUGGCAGUUAGUUUCAUGAGUUGCAAAUUGAAAAAUAAAUUAUUCAAGUUAGUAAUCUUAAAAAGUGCCCUCAGGACACCUCUAGAACUAGUUUUAACCAUCUGACCUUCAGAAUUGAAGUAUUCCAUUUAUUACCUGAAUAUGGUUGUUUGCUAUUGCCAGUAAGAAUUGCAAAAUAAAUUUAUUAAUUAUCAGUGCAUGGGAUCAUGACAUCCUAAACCAGAUUAUCCAUUUCAUUCAUGCAAUUAAUAUAUUGAAGGUGCAGAAGCAUUUUUACACAAUUCAGAGUUAUCAAUAUGGUGAUACACACUGGAUACUUCAAGGUAUGAAUACAAGAAUCUAGGAGAACAUUUUAAAAUCAGGUGUGCAUUUCGAGAGGAAGGUAAGGACCAUUGCAAUGCUAAGAUAUUAGCAACUAUAGUAUGCUAAUAUAAAUUUAAUACAUGCUAUAGACUAUAUGAACAGAAACUUAAAACAACAUAAGAGCCAUGGUAGUACCUGAUACCCAUUCCAUUCUGGAUUUGGAGGUGGAACACCUUGAGUUGGUGAAAACAUAAUUGGAAAAUAGGCAGCACUAUCAUUUAAAGUCAUUGGUGCUGACCAGGAUGCCAUAUUCACUUGUGACGCAGCUUGCAAUGAAACAGAUCCACCAUUACCAUAUCCUGAAGGUGGUUCACAAGCUCCAGCAAGUUUAGCAUCAGGAUGAUUAAACCUGCAGUUGGCUCCAUACUUGCAGGACCCAUUACGCAUGUAAUAGGGGCACUCUUUCUCUCCCUGUGAUGAAUUAAAAAAAUUCAAAUUUCCAAAAUGAUUACUCCAAUUAAUCACUAAAUAUAUAUCUCAUAAGAUUUGAAGGAUUGUAGGACAAAUGCAAUUAUGGAAUUUGCUAAAGUUCCACUGAUAGUGUAAAGACAGAAUUAACACCUUUCGGAUGGGCAGCCCCAGAAAGUUAAGCUCUAAGAUAGGACUCACUGAAGAAUUUUGUUUUGAGUGGUUGUAUCUGCAAGCCUUCCCAAACUUACACCCGCCAGUUCUUAGGUAGUACUGCAAAAUCUCGAGCAAAAUUGAAAAACUACAGAAAUGUUACUAUCAAACUGUGCACAUUUCUUAUAUACACAUAGAUUAAAAUAGAAAAAUAUGAACUUCAGAAGCAACUGAACAAGCAGGAACAAAUAUGUUAUGGGCCAAAGUAAACCAGUCUAAAAACAAGAUUUAUUAGAACCAGUGAUUAAAGAUAUUAACAUUAGGCACUUGAAAUGCAAUGACAAUGCUAUAUAAUAGGCGGCUUCAUUGAAAGAAUGAAAAAAUAUACACAAAUUCAGUCAUAAAAUUUCCUGAAAAGAAGCAGCAUAAAUUCAAAAGAAUUUCAUCCUCAGGAAGCAAAGAACUUAAUCUCAAAAAUAAACUUGUCAUGUGUGUUCAAAUACUCAAACUGAUCCAAAACAAAACCGAACAUAAAAAACAGUUGAAAAUCAAAUUAGUAACACUCAUCAACGUGAUAGCAGUUACGAUCGUAAAGAGCACAUUUUGCAAACAUAAAUUAUGAAGAUUGACCUUGCAUUCUUGUUGGUUUGUUUUCUCUGUUGAUUCAUCCUUUUCCUUAACAGCCUUCAGACAACAUAAUUCCAAAACACCCAGAAUGAAAAAAAAAAGUCAGAAUAAAAUGGAUAAUAGGUAUGUAUCAAACAAGUCAACCACAAAACAAUAAAACAACCAAAAUCACUAAUUGUUAAGGGAUAGGGUCGGGUACCUAUGUGAAGCACAAGGCCAAAAAAUCAAAAAUUCCUUUGUUUGAAUAACAUAUCCCAAUACUAAAUUAUAUAUCAGCUGGUAAUUGAUCAAGAGCUACGUCAGAGAGAAAAGACGAAAAGACAGUUUUUGCCCUCACAAGCUGACAGAAGUAGAAAUGGUUACAUUUUCCUCAAGGCACAAGAAUUAACAACUGAAACAAAUGAAACUUCAACACUCACAGGCUCACAGCAUAAACAAACAACUGGAAAAAAAAUCAAUCAAGCAAAAAGACAGUUUCUGUUCAGCUAAAGAGAGAGCAUUUUCAGCAUAAAAUGAAACAGCCUAACAAUGAAGUGAGAAAAAAGACCUGGUUCUUCCUUCGAACAGGGUGAUUGAACUUGCAAUUGAAUCCAAAUUUGCAAAGUCCGGUUUUCAUAUAAUAAGCGCAAUCCUCUGCUUCCGGUCUCACCGGAUAAUUCGUCCUCCUUUCUUCAUCCUUCUUCACAUCAUCAUCAUUCUCAUUCUCGAUUAUGUCCUCCUCCUCCUCUUCAACGUCGUUUUGUGUCUCUACGUCAACUUUGUCCUCCUCCUCCUCUUCCUUCAAAUCGAGGUUAUUCAGCUGCUGUUCGAGAUUGUUUUCGUGGUGGUCCGUUUCCUUAACCGAGUGAUUGAGAUCAGACGGUGAGUCGUCGAGGGGAAUCGGAGUCGGAUCGGUCGAGUUAAGCCCUAAACUCAGAAGGGCGGAAUCGGUGUGAGUGGUUUCUUCAGAUUGUGACAUCGUAAAUCAACAUUUCAAAAAAAAAAACCCUAAAAUUUGCAAAAAAAAAUGGAGAGAAAAAAUAAAGAAUAAACUAAAAAGGAUAGAGACUUUGUUAUUGGGAAAUGGCAUGCAAGUGCUAAAGUGUGUGUCUGAACAUGACGAAAAGGCCGCUAAAAGGUUAAGAGAAAAGAAUCCAUAAUAUAGAAAUAAUAAUUCAAUAAGGCUUAAACCAAAAAAAGCCCCCAAACUUUAACGUAUUUUCAUUUAGGUUCUUAACCUUAUUUUUUGGUAAUUUUUGUUACCAUAGUUGGUCUAAAAAUUUUUUGGAGCCAAUCGUUAUCUGCCAUGUGGCAUCUGAGAUUUUUAAAAAAUAUAUUAAAAAAAAUUAUCUUUUAACACAAUUUUUUAAAACAUUUCAAUGUUUAGUCAUUGAAAUAUUUCAUAGCAGAACCUAGAGCAACCAUGUUGAUCACCGAAAUAUUUCAUAUAUCUCCCCUGUAGCAUUGUGUUCGUUCAUGUAUAUUUCACAUAACAAUUUGUUAAUUUAUCACAAAUAUUUCGAUACAUAUACAAGGCACUAAGCAGUGCUAAACCCAAACAACAUACAUACAUAUCUUUAAAUUACCAAGACAAAUUAAUGAUUCGAAGAUUUCGACUUUUUUCUUAAGUCAUAUCGAUUUUAAAAAAUAAAAUAGUUGCAUUUUUUUUUAUUACAGAAUCGAUUUGAAAGUUUAAGUUUCUCAAAUCAAUUUUAAAAUUUCAAUAAAUAAAAUCGAUUCAGAAGAACACAAAAUAAAUCAACAACAAUCGAAAAUCGAUUGAAUGGGUUUAGGAAUUGAAUCGAAGAACACAAAAUCAAUGGGUUCUUUUGACUGAAAGGUUUUUUUUUUUUUCUUUUUUGGUUUUGGCUGUUGAAUUGAAUGAACCAAGGAUUUGGGUGGGUAAUUUUUUUGAGAUUCGGUAAAUUAAUUCUACUAAUAAUUUUUUUCUUUUCUAUUUUUUUCAUUUUAUAUAAUCAAAAUUUUAUUACAAUAAUAAAAAAACCCUCCUCCCAAUCAUUCUUCAUUUUAAUAACUAAACGUCACGUCACGACAUGUCGAUGUGAUUUUUAAUUUCUCAUUUAAACUAAAUCUAAAUUUUAAAGUUUUAAAUUGACUUAAUUUUUAUUGUGAUCGGAAGGAUCUAUUGCCCAAUAUGCGAACAAUUAAUGUCACAAUAAUAUGGAAAUAAAAGUAUGUCACAACUUGGUCCUUGAUCACAUAAAAGAAGUUGAUUUUCAUCACAUUAGUCAAACUAGAAAUAUGUCAUUUUUAGCUGUAUUUAUUUCUAUUUUGAUUGAAUGAUAGAGACUCGUACUUUUCAUUUCUCACGAGGUGAAUGUAUGAUAACGGUAAAAUAUGUAAUGUUAUUGAUAUGCUUUCAAUCAAUAAUCUAUCAAUCACAAUAACUUCUACAUUCAAUUCUUGAAUAUUACUCGUUAAUGUGUUCAACAUGUUUACUAACACUAAGGUUGAUUACAUGGGUUUAUUGAUUAAAUGGCUGAUGAGGCAUUUAAUGAGCUCCUAUAAGAUACAUAUAUUUAAAUUCUUCAAAAUGCUACAUCUUACAUCCUCCAAAUGAUCAGAGGUGUGCUGAUGCCAAAAAUAUUCAACAAUAAUAAUUCAUGUAAUAUAUGCCUCGUUGUUAGUUGAUUUCUGAAUGAUCACAAGAUAUAAUUAGGGGUAUGUUGUUUUGGCAUGUUUAUGUAGAGUGCAUGUAUAGCGUGCAAAUAGGAGAGCAUGGAGAUAAAUGGUUGCCUUGUAAGUUUCGGUAAACUACAUUAGUAGUCACCCAACUAUGAUUUUUUUUUUUUGGUCACCUAACUAUGAAAAGUUACAAAAUGGUUACUCAACUAUUAAUAAUUUUUCUUUUUUGGUCUUCUGACUAUAUUAGAUUUUUGGGUGUUUUCAUUUUUACGUUAGCCAACUAGUGACCACACAAGACAAAAUUGAAUAGUUGGCUGACUAUUUUGUCACUUUUCAUAGUUGGAUGACCAAAAAAGAAAUUUACUAAUAGUUAAAUGACCAUUUUAUAACUUUUCAUGGCUGACUGACAAAAAAAACCCAUAGUUGAGUGACCUCUACCAUAAUUUAUCCUAUAAUUUUACUAUCAUAAGCAUUUUGUGGAACACAUUUUUUAUAAGCAUACAUUAUAAAAUGUAUUAGAGUAUAAAUGUUUUAUAUUUUUACUAAUAUUUAAUACUUUAGCUGGACUGAUAAUUGUGACUAUACAUUUUAUUAGAAGGAUAAUAUUACAUGGUUGCAAUCACAAAUUAAUCUUCAAUGUAACAAUCCAUUUUUAGUGGUAUUGAAAACUGUAGUUUUGGAAUUUCGUGUUCUAAUAAUCGAGUCAGUAAAUAUUAUUUAUAAUAUUUACGAGUCUAGUAUAAUAUUGUAGGACCCAAAUUUUGCCCGGGCCCAACAAGCAAAGCUCAAAACACCAAAUAAGUUAACAGUCCAAUUAGCACCCCAUUAAACCAACCAUUAACUCCAUCACCCCACUUGCCACUAACUUCAUCACCCUACGUGCCACUAGGGGUGUUCAAUCGGUUAACCGACCCGAAAUAACAUUAACCGAAUUAAUCGACCCUUCAAAAUUUUUAACCGUCAAUCGAACCGAAAUUUUUUUGGUUAACCGAAUUAACCGAAAAAUAUAUAUAUUUUUUUAUUUUUGGUUAAAAUAAGUAUAAAAUUAAUCGAAUUUAUCGAAUUACCCGAAUUACCCAAAUUAACCGAAUUAACCAAAUUAUUUGUAUAAAAUUAUAUAUUUUUUAUUUUUUUAUUUUUAGUUUUAGGUUUUUAUUUUUAUUUAUUAAAUUAUUUGUAAUUUUUAUAAUUGAGUUGGGUACUUGGGUUAAUAUAUAUUAGAUUGGGUAUUUGGGUUUAUGUUGGAUUGGGUUUGAGUGAAUAGUGGGCUAUUAAUAUAUUAUAAUUUUAUUUAUUAUUUUUUGAGUUAAACCGAAAAAAUUCGGUUAACCGACCGGUUUCGAACCGAAUUAACCGUUAACCGAAAACUUAAAAAAUUAUUAACCGUCCCCCGACCGAAUUAAUUCGGUUAACCGACCGAUUAACCGAAUUCGAUCGGUUAACCGAAUUUUUUCGAUUUUACCUGAAUUUUGCACACCCCUACUUGCCACUAACUCCAUCACCCCACUUGCUUGCAAAAAGAAAGAGGCAAUCGGUUAGCAAACAAGUUGUAAAAUUUGGCUAUAAAAGCCAUUCAAAACCAUUGUAAUCGAGUUUCUGUUUUUUGGAGAAAAAAGGAGAGAGAUUCAAAUACAAGAAAAAGAGAGACUUUCAAUACAAGAAAUACACAAGAUUAAUAAAAAAUCAAAGCAAAAGAGGGUUUUUUUUUUUAGGUCUGGCCGCCGUAUAUGGUGGCGCCUACGGUGGCGCGUGGAGGUCCGGCGACUGGAGCAAGGCUGGACCGAUGUUUUAGAAGGGAGGGGGAGAGUGUUUAAUAUUAUUAUUAUUAUUGUAAGGCCCAAAUUUUGCCCGGGGCUCAAUAAAACCAAACCAACUUAAACCAACCUUAGCCCAACCCAAACAAAAAAAAAAUCCUAGGUGUGCCGCCCUACUGUCUGCCACCAUAACCUACUCCAUAGUUGGCCACCCACCCCCAUUUUGCUCCACUUGCCUGCAAUGGAAAAGGCAAAUAAAUUAAAAAAAGAACAAGUUGUAAAAUGUUAGAAAAACCUACAAUCUCAAUGUAAUGGAGGGGAUUUUGGAUUCUAUCUCAUUUUUUCGGCUAAAAAUAGAAGCCGAAAGCAAUCGUAAAAGGGGGAUCCUCAUUCUUGUAUGCAAGGAUUUUUCAGAAAUAAAAAGGAGAAAAAAAAACAAAAAAAGGGUUGAUUUCCGAUCGUAUUCUCUUGGUUUUCAUUUUGUUCUUUAGUUUCUUUUUUAUUUUUGUUUACAAAUCUAUUAAACGAGAGUGGGCAUAAAAAAAAAGAGGAGAAGAGAGUCUUACCGGAUCCACCCCGUGGCUGCAUCGUCGGAGUCCUCCUCUCCGUUCGGCACGGUGAACGACGGCGAUGAUGGGUUUCCAAAAUUCUAGCUGAAAAGGGGGAGGGGGAGAGAACAGAGAAGCUCUCUAUUGUUUUUGUUUAAAAUUGGGGCUGGUAAUGAAAUAAAAAAAGGGGUUUUUUUGGUUUAAAUGAUGAUGAUGAAACUAACAACAUGUUUGGUUUGGUGUAUUGGCUAAGCCAAUACACCCAUAAUCGGUGGACCCCACCUAAUCCCUCUCUAUCCCGUGUUUGGUUUAAAGUAUUGGUAAUACGGGUGUAAUCGGUUACUUUCCUAAUCGGUGAAAAUCACCGAUUUCUAUUCCCCCCAUUUUGCCCAGAUUAGGAACGACUUCAGCAAACCCUCCCUGUUUUACCCUCCCCGAUCCCCUGUGUUCCUCUUCCGUUCCUUCAAGCUUGCUCCCCCCAUUUCAUUUCUUUUCUUUUUUGGCCGAUUUGCUUUCUGUCGAUUUGCUCUCUGUUUUACCCUCCCGAUUGCCUUCCCUAUUGUCUUCCUUCCUUCUACCUUCUGCCCAUUUGCUCAAGUUUCGACUGAUUUCCUUCUACCUUCUCCCUUCUUUUCUUUUUCUUUACAACUUAUCUGUCACUCUUUCGAUUGGCCUUCUCAACCAGUCGACACUCUUUCGAUUGCUCUCAAGUAGUGGGUUUCGACACUCUUUCGACCGAUUGCUCUCUCGAAAGGUAAAGGUUACUGCCUUGUUAGUGCAAAGACGAGUGGUUGUGACCGGGAUGGGAGUAGUAACUCCGCUUGGACAUGAGCCUGAUGUUUUCUAUAACAACCUGCUCGAGGGUGUUAGUGUAACACCCCGUACCCGAGACCGUUGUCGGAGUCGGACACGAGGGGUUCACAGACUAAAUUCGCUUACUAUCGCAGUCCAUUUUAAAAUUUUCCAGGCAGUUGGCUAACUGCGACACUGUCACCUUAAAAAUCAUAUCUUGAGUUUCACAACUCGAAAAUCAGUUUCGUAAUUUUUACCUGAAACUAGACUCAUAUGCCCAUCUACAUAUUUUUUUCUAGAAUUUUUGGUCAGGCCAAUUAGUACAGUUUAUUAGUCAAAGUCUCCCAUGUUACAGGGAUCGACUACACUGACCUUUUCGCAUUACGACUUGGAUAUCUCCCUGCACAGAGCUUCAAUACUGAUGCCGUUUGUUUCUAUAGAAACUAGACUCAGAGAAGAAUCUAUACAUAUAUGGAAUGACUCCUAAUUAUCUCUGGUUAAUUUAUAAUGAAUUUCCAAAGUCGGAACAGAGAAUCCAGAAACCGUUCUGGCUCUGUCUCACGAGAACCUGAAUAUCUCUUAACAUACUGUCCAUAUGAUCGUUUCGUUACUUUCCUAUGAAAAUAGAUUCAUCAAGGUUCGUUUACAUAAUUUAUUCAUUAUUUAAUUCCAAUCCUACUAUUUUUAGUGAUUUUCCAAAUCUACAUCACUGCUGCUGCCAGCAUCUGCCUUUAAGGUAGACUUUACCUAUUUCAUAGUUUCUAUUAUUCAACUAGCCCUUUUAGCAUGAAUAGCACAAAUUAUGAUAGUGAUUAACCAUUCUAUACCAAAUGAUUAUAACAUUAUGCUCAAACAUAUAUAAGCCAUUUUUGCAUGGCUAUAUACAUUAACCAAAAUAUUCUUCCGCCACUAGUCUAUUUUAUACAUGGCAUAAGAUAAUCCAAAACAUAGCAGUACCAAACAGUGGAUAGUGAUAGUGUGACUAGUUGCUGACGAUCCCCGAGCCUGUAGCUUCGCAAUGAGAUCUAUAAAACAGAGGAAACAGAGUAAACGGAGUAAGCAUUACAAUGCUUAGUAAGUUUUAAGCAGUGUCAACAGAUAACAAUCAAAUUAUAACAUAGUUGUUCGUAUUUUUAUUUCACUCUUCCUUCGGGCAUACCAUCCCUUUACCGAAUAUGCACAUCUCAUCAUAUACAAUAGGCAGAUAAACUUUCACAUAAAAGUGAGCUCAUGUGACAUAGAUAUAUCGUAUGAUUUCACAUAACCUCUCACUCUGAUCCGAUGUCACAUAAUCAUAGGAAUAGUCUCAUAGAUUGCUCUCGUAUGCGUCACAUAACUACCUUAUGAUUUAGUGCAAAUCAAGCUCACAUAUAAACUUGGAGUACAUACCUGUUUAACCUUUCGCAUUGAAUAUAUUUAUAAGCAAUUCUUAUUACGAAGUCUUACCCGGACAUAAUCUCUACACGAAGUUAUCGGGUCUUACCCGGACAAAAUCCCCACACGUAGUCAUCGGGUCUUUAGAGCUCGAAUAUAGUACGAGCACGAAGCUUACGGACAUUAAUCAAUGAUAAUAUUCUCGCAUAAAGCCUGCGGGGUUUUAACCCGGAUAUAGUACUGACACAAAUGCCCUUCGGGACUUAUCACAUUCAUCACAUCGGCCAUUAGGCCCUAUCACAUAUAUACACACUUUCACAUUCAUCACAUCGGCCAUUAGGCCCUAUCACAUAUAUAUACACUUUCACAUUCAUCACAUCGGCCAUUAGGCCUUAUCACAUAUAUACACUUUCACAUUCUCAAAGUAAGCUAUUUUAGCUUAGUUAUAAGCAAUUUAAACAAUUUAAAAGACAUUAAAAACUCAAUUUGAGUAAGCAAGUCCUGCUACUAAAAUCACAUAUUCAACCAAACUUGACUACCAAUAUAUAUCAAUCAGUCAAGUUUAAUACCUAACAUGUUCGAAUAUACAUAAACUCUAAAAAUAAUAAUAAUAAUUACUAAACACUUCCCAUCUUACCAUUUAAUACCUAGUCGAAUGUUCACUCAUAUAUAAAAUAAAUAAUCAAGCAUUAUUAUAUAUAUAUCAUAUCAUUUUAUUAUUAUUAUCAUUAUUUAUUUUAUUUUAUACUUUUCAACUCAUCCAUCUCUCAUUUUUCCAAAUCUAUCAUACAUAUUAUAUUUAUAACUACCCACCAUAUAAUUUCAAGUUCAAUAAUAUCAACCACAAAGGUUUGAUUACGUACCUUCAUUAUUACGAACAUAAAUAUUACACUACUACUCUUGCAUUUGAUAAUUAGAUCGUCUGAUCAUUUUCCUUCACCCGUUGUAUUCGCACACUUAGUGCUAUUGUUUAACUAGAAAGGCCAUGAAAUCGUACACUUAGUGCUUAAUAUUUUCCUUCGCACACUUAGUGCUCGAUAAUCAAACUCGCAUGCUUAGUGAAAUUUUCAUAUUUAUUAUUUCUAUUUGCAUUCGACAACACCAAGAUUUUAUAUAUUUCAACGUGGCUCACACAAAUAUAUAAAUUAUAUUUAUUUAAACCAACAAUAAAUAUUUGCUUAACGACUUACCUCGGAUUUCGACGGACAGUCGAAUUCGACUACUCAACGAUUUUUUUUUAUUUUCCCCGAUCCAUGUCCGAUCUUUUUGGUUCUUGAUCUAAAAAUUUCGAAAUUAAUCUCAUUCAAAUAGAAUUUCCUUCAUUUAGGUACAAAUACACAUAAUUGAACAAUUUACCAAUUUACCCCUAAUAUUAUGCACUUUUACAAUUUAAUCCAAUUUUCUCAAAACACAAAAUAUGAAGAAUUUGUAUAUACAAUGCUAGGGCCGAAUGUUCACUAAGCUUAUAUAAAUCCUCCCAUUUCACUAAUUUCACAAUCUAGUCCUUCAAUUUAGUAUUUUUUUUCAAUUUAACCCUAAAUGCUCAAAAUUACCAAAAAUCCCAAUACCAAAAUGUUAAUCUAACACAUUUAUUUUAUUUUCUCACAUCAAACGUAAAUUUUAUCAAACUAUUAACAAUGACACUUCAUGACUAUAUCAUCAAUUUCAAAAUUUCAAGCAUGGGCUUUAUAGUAUUCAAAGCAACUAUCUCAAAAGUGUAAAAAUUAACAAAAACCAAACUCAAAUCACUUACCUAAUUGAACAUGCAAGGACAGAAAAUAUCAAAGCUGAAACUUUCCUUUCUUUCUCUUAGUUUCGGCCGAGUAAAAAUAAAAGAAAGAUGAACACUUUCAUCUUUUAUUAAAUAUAAUAUAUUAACAUAUAUUAAAGUAUACCAUAAUGCCAUAAAAUAUAACAAACAAUUCAAGUCAUUAAUCCAUGCAUAUUGGUCGGCCACCAAUUCCUAUUUAUGGCCAAAUUGCAACCUUAAUAUUCCAUAAUAUAAAAACAAUCAUAAUUUGGCCCUUAUACAUUAACCCUUAAAUUUUCCAUUUUACGCGAUUAAACCAUUUUUUCAUCAAUCGACCUCCAAACACUAAAAUUUUUAAACGAAACUUUCACAAAAGCAACUUCACACAUUUUAAACAUAGAAAAUGAUAUUUAAAUAUUAUUCUAACUCGGAUUCGUGGUCCCGAAACCACCGUUCCAAUUAAGGUCCAAAUUGGGCUGUUACUUUAUUUAUUUUUAUUUAAUACAUUUUAAUAUUCCAUUUACCUUUUUGUCCUUUAUAAUAAUACAUAAUUUCAUAUAUGCCAAACCACCAAUCUCCACUAUCAUAAAGUAAUGGUUUAAUUGAUAAAUAGGGACUUCUACUUUAGUAAAACAUGGAAAAUAAACACUUAAACAAUUAGAAUGUAACUUUUUGCAUUUUACGCGAUUUAGUCCUUUUUGCUUAAUUAACUAUCGAAACGAUAAAAUUUUUCAACGAAACUUUAAUACCAUCUUUUUGCCACUUUGAAAAUAUUUAUAAAAAUAUUUACGACUCGAUUUAUAGAAAUGAGGUCCUGAUACCUCAUUUCCUAAACCCACUUGACCUUAGGGUCAUACCACUUGAACUUAAUAAAUCACUUAUAAAACAAAUAUCACAAUAUCAAAAAUAUUUUUAAAAAUCACAAUUAACUCGUAAAUAUUAAAUAUAAUAUUUACAAACCUACUCGCCGGAUUUGGUGACCCCGAAACCACUGUUCCAGUUAAUCCUAAAAACGGGCUGUUACAGUUAGUGGUAUAAGUGAAAUCGAGACUUUUGACUGCGCUCAGUUUCCGAAAGUAAGUUGUCUUUGGUUGGGAUCUCUUGUUUUGCUCUUGUUUGUACUGCUGCUCGUUCUUACUGCUCCUGUUUUCUCUCCAGAGGAUUGCUGGAGAGAUCAAAUCUUUCUCAACUGAUGGAUGGGUCGCACCAAAAUUUUCCAAGAGGAUGGACAAAUUCAUGCUUUAUUCUCUUACUGCCGGAAAGAAAGCUUUGCAAGAUGGGGGAGUAAAUGAAGAUGUAAUGGAGGAGUUAGAUAAAACGAAAUGCGGAGUUUUGAUUGGUUCAGCAAUGGGUGGCAUGAAGGUAAAAUCUUUUUCUAGAAGAAGGAAAGUGUCAUGGUAUAUAGUUUUCUUUCUAUAUCUAUCGAUCCAUAUACAUUGCUUGUUGUGGAAUGAACAGGUUUUCAACGAUGCGAUUGAAGCUUUGAGGAUCUCAUACAGGAAGAUGAAUCCUUUUUGCGUACCGUUUGCUACAACAAAUAUGGGUUCUACAAUGCUUGCAAUGGAUUUGGUUAGCUUAAAUUUAGAUUCUGCAAUGUUAAGAUAGACCUUGAUGGAUGUUAAAAUUUCGAGUUUGAGCUUUAAACUGAUGAUUUCUUCAGGGAUGGAUGGGUCCUAAUUAUUCAAUCUAGGCUUUUAUAUGUAUAUUAUUUUUGCAUGACCUCUAUAUGCACCUGAACGAUGUAUAUGUACCUGAACGAUAAUAUUUUAUAUGAUAUUGAUAAUAUUAAGAAGUCCUAAUUGCAAUGACCUCUAUAUGCCUUAAGAGUAUGAUUUUUCAUUUGAGAAAAUGGUUAUGCUGUGUUUAUUUUACUUCAUUUCUAUCUUUUAAUGAGAAAGAAGGGGCCCUUGUUUUCAAUGUUGAGUGUUGAAAUAUAAGUCCAAUUAGCAUGGUUUUAAGUCCUAAGGUAGUCAGCAUUGAGUUAUUCUUAAUGUUUAGCAUGAUCUUCAUGUUUUGGCAUCUGUUGGGGUAUGCUUGAUUGAUUUCCCUUGAUAUAUGAUAUUGAUUGACUUUACAUUGGGUUUUAUUAUGAAUUAGGGAUACACUAGUUUACAUGUAGAGAAUGCUGUCUUUGCUUUGUGUGACUGUUUUAUCUGUCACGUUUUUACUGUUAGUGCAUCUAGUUUCCAAGCAUAUAAUAACUUAAAGCAUUAUUUAGUAUUUAGUUAUUUGUAAGCUGUCUUUAAUUAUCUGUUAGUGAAGUAAGUACUCACUUUUUGCUUCAUUGACCAAGCUUUAACUGACCUAUAUCAAGUUGCGUUAUGUUUCUUGAGGAUUACUUCUUAGCUGUCUUUCCCGGUAGAACUUGCUAAAUGAUUGGCAAUAGAGAUUUCCUUUAACCGUCCAACCAUUUUUUGAUCGGCCAGUUGUUGUAAUUACAACUUUCUUUUGGAUUUUACAAGUUCCCUACUAUCUUGAUGAAGCUACAGGAUGGGGUUUGGAAGUAUCUGAGCUUAAGAAACAACUGCAGGAAGCCAAGUCUAAUGGCAUCACUGUUAGGGCCUUGGUUGUAAUAAAUCCAGGCAACCCAACAGGACAGGUAUCAAUGAAAUGCUUUCAGAAAAGUAUAUUAUAAAUGAAAAAGGUUUAUGCAAUUUCAUAUUUCUAUUAUUUCAUUUACGGAAUGUGAAUGAGCUUAUACAAAGUUUGGAAUUUUGACACAGAAUAUAAACACUUUUACUGUCUCCAGGGUAUUAUGGAGAGUGUGGAAAAAGGGGAGGUUACAUGGAGGUUACUGGGUUUGGUGCUGAUGUGAGGGAGCAUAUAUACAAACUAGCAUCUGUGAAUGUGUGUUCUAACAUCACUGGUCAAAUUCUUGCUAGUCUUGUAAUGAGUCCACCUAAGGUUAUAUCUUUUGCCAUUUAAAGCCAGUUAUCUGUUUGUAUUCAAAUGACAUUGGAUGUAUGACAUAGGACUAAAUAGAUUUUGAGCUUUGACAAGCUGCUUAUAAGCAUUGUUUCUUAUAGAAGAAACACAUUAUUGAAGAAAGCUUUUGAAUCUCCCAACUAUUGGAUUUGGGUUUCUUUUUGACAAUUUAUUUAUUGUGCUUUUGUUUAGAUGAUGAGAAAGGAAAGUCAAGAAUUAUAUUUACUCGUUAAGUUAAAUGAAGAUAUUUGUAAUUUAAAAAAAUAAAAAUUCAAUAUAAAUUUAAAAUAAGAGUUUAACUAAAAAAUAAGAGUUAGUGGCAAAAAUUAAUAAAAUUUAAAUUUUAGUGGUAAAAUUCAAUAACAUAAAAAUUAAGUUACAAAUUUACUCAUAUUUUUUAAAAAAUAACGGCAAAUAUAAAUAAAAAUAAAGUACAGUGACAAAUUUCAAUAUUUAUCUAUAGUAUGAUGAUAAUUUCGCACUUUAAUAUUUUUAAGAAAACAAUAUUUGAAUUUUUUAGAAUGGUACGGUAAAAAAAAAUUUAAAACAUAAUUAUUGUGCCAGCUAUUUUAAAAUUUUUACCAAACACAAUUUUUAAAAUUUUUAGAUAAUUUGGUAAGAAAUUAACUGUAUUCCAAUUAUUAAAUAAUAUGGUAAUUUAAAAUAAUUUUAGUACAAGAUCAUAUAUAUCUAAUAUAAUUAAUCGUCAUUAAUUUGAAUUUAUAUUAAAUAAGUAAUUGAAAAUAUAUAUUUUAUUAAAUUAUAUUUAAUAAUAAUUAUGUUAAAUUAUAUUUCAUAGUAUUAUAUAUUAUGAUUUUAGAAAAUUCAUAUAAGAAUAUUUAAUAUUAAGAAUUUUAUUAAAUUAUAUAUUUUAAUUAAAAUAUAUUUAAUAGUAAUUAUGUUAAUUUAUAUUUUACAGUAUCAUAUAUUAUGAUUUCAGUAAAUUAAUAUAAGAAUAUUAAUUAUUAAGAAUUUUAUUAAAUUAUAUAUUUUAAUUAAAAUAUAUUUAAUAAAAAUUAUGUUUAAAUAUGAUUAAAUUAUUUAUUAUUGAUAAUAAUAAUCUUAUUAUAAUUUAAAUAACAAUAACAAUAAUCAUUUACCAAAACAAAUUUAUGCUAAGGGUAUUCUAGUCAUUUUAGUUUUUUCCAUUAUGCUAUUACACCUCUAUUACAUUCAACCAAACACAAGAUUACUAUUACGCCUCUAUUCCAUUACAUUCAACCAAACAGUUGAUUUGCUAUUACACCUCUAAUCCAAUACACAUCUAAUCCAAUACACAUCUAAUCCAAUACAGCGAACCAAACGCACCCUAAGUGUUUAGUGGAGUGGGGAUGUGCAUUAUCCCUAAAUGGGAGAUUUUCUAGAUUAGUCCUUCUCCUUUGCAACUCUAUUCUACUAGACCCUAUUUUCUGUUUUCUUUUGUUUUUUUAAUUUAGCUCUUAGAUUUCGUUUGGGUUACAUCUGGGUCCUUUGAAACACUGCGCAUAAAAGGCUGGGAAUAUUUCCCAACUAGUCCCUCGUUGUUUCAGAGUGAUUCAUUUCGAUCCUUGAUGGCCUUCUUUUCAUUAUUUACAAUAUGAGUCCCUCUUCCCUUACAUGUAUCUCAUUUUAGCUCAAAUUCUAACUUUUUAAUUUAUCCCUUAAAGUUCAUUUCUUUUUUAUUUUCGGUUCCUUGACCAUUUAAUCUUGUUUAUUUUUCAUUUUUUUUUAUUAUUUUCAAUAUUCUGCUUUUAUUUUUAUUUUCCUUAGUAUUUUAUUUACUUGCUCUUUUUAAAUUCAACCCCUUAUAUUUUAUUUUAUUUUCAUAUUUAUUGAUAUACCUAUAUUUUACGCCUUAGACUUCAUUUUUUUUUAUGUUAAAUCAAAUCCUUUUAGUUUCCAUUCUUUUUUUCUUUAUUUUUAUUUCACCAUUGUUUUGUACUAUUCUUUUGCCUUUAUUUUUACAUUCAUGGACAACUGCUCAUUGUAUUAUUACUAUUAAUAUCCUUAUCACGUUGUCUUUUUUGCUCCAUCAAUAUUAUUUGUUAUUUUUGUCUUAUUUGUUCUAUUUAUUUUAUUUUCUGUUUAUAAUUUCAAACUAAAUUGUUUUGUUUAUUAUCUUGUUCAUCUACUUAUUUCUUUAUUCCUUUAACUUUUUAUACUAAAAAGUUCAUUUAUUUAUGUUUUUUUAGAUGCUCUUCGAUUUUACUAUUAUUAUUAUUAUUAUUAUUUAGUCCCAUAAUAAUUUCUUUUAUGAAUUCUUUUAAAUUUAUCUUAAUAUAUUUUUAUGUACAUAAGUCAUUUUUCUAGAACAUAUUUUACUACAUAUUGUUUUGAUUUUAAAUCUCACAUUUAAAUACUAUUUUUAUAUAUAUUCCUUUGUUAACUUUAUACGGAUACAUCAUCUCUAAAAUGUUUAUGCACAUUAUUUGACUCAAAUUUCCUCCUUCGUAAUCUUUAUUUUAAUAAUUAUUUAUAUGUUUGUAGUUUGCCCAUGUUGUUUUGUAUAUAUCAUGAGUGUUUUGUUGUUUUUAUCGUUUUAUAAGUUAUUACAUUACAUUUGCGAUUGGUACUUGGUGUUGCUAUCUUAAUUUUAUUUAUUUAGGUUUGAAAACUUGUUGGAGUUCGUACUUUGAUUUGUUUCUUUGGUUAUAUUUUUAGCUUUCAUGAUUUUGAUUGUUAAUGUUUGGAUGUGAGCUUACUGCUAUUUUAUGCACGUUAAGUUUUUUAUUAUUAUUAUUUGUUUAUUCAUCUUUACACUAUUUUUAUUCACUAAUAGAGUUCGCUAUCCAUGCAUAUCGUCUCAUCUUUAUAACUUCGCCUUUUACUUGCAAUUGACUCGUUGGGAUUUUAAACUUGUUAAUCUAAAAUAAUUAUUCCAUUUUAUUUCAAGUCAAAUUAAUACGUUUUGAGCUAGUUUCACAAUUAUUUAAAACGAAGGCGAUAUUCAAUAUUUGACAAUUUGUGGAAUCGUGCCCUAACGUGUUGGGUUGCAAUUUCUCGUUCGCUCAAAGUAAUCGAAUGUCUCUUCAGAAUUUCACUCGUAUCUUCCAAGGUGAGGCAAUGGUCAAUGUUUGGAAAUUCGAGGAAUCGUGCCCUAUUGUGCUGGGUAUCGAUUUUUCGUUGAACCAAAUAGUUGGGCAUCCUUUUGUUAUUUUCGAAUUGCAAAUUUUCAAACGUCGAAACAAGAAGAUUUUUGGCAAUGGACUUGGGUUAUUCAAAUGUUAUUAACAAGAACCAUAUUUCAAAAACAUUUUUAAUUUUAGACAAAAGGACAAUAUUUAAUCGAUUUGGUACCAAUUUUGGGCGUAAUGAGGGUGCUAAUCCUUCCUCAUACGUAACCGACUCCCGAGCCUAUUUUCUCAUGUUUUCGUAGACCAAAAUCAUUGUUUUAGUAAACCAAAAUGUUUUAUUAAAACAACCCAAAUUUCUAGGUGAUCCAAUCACACCUAAACAAGAAAAGAUUGGUGGCGACUCCAUUUUCGCUCUCCAAAAAGUCGAUCCAUCAUUUUUAAAUCGAAAUAAAAAAAUGAUUUCGACAAUUAUUAUUAUUAUUAUUAUUAAUCUAUAUACUAUUACUGUUUUCUUUUUUAUUGUUAUUAGUAGUAACUAGAGGUGAUCAUGGGCCGACUCGGGCCCAGACAAAAUUUUAGGCCUGUAUACUAGGCCCGGGUCCAACCCGGCCCGAAAUAUGAGCCUAAAAAUUUGUCCAAGCCCGGCCCAAAAUAAAAUUGCUAAGCCCGAGCCCGGCCCAUAUUGAUUUUUUUCUUAUUUCAUUAAAUAAAAAAAAUUAAAAAUAUAAUAAAUCAAAUAUAUUUAAAAACAUAAAAACAAAUAUUAAAACAAAUAAAAAUAAUACUAAAACAAUUCUUAAAACAAUACACAAAUUAACAAUAUAAUAAAAAAAUGAUUAUAUUAAAAAUUUAAAAUGAUUAAAAAUAAAAUAAAAAUAAAAUAAUAUAUAAUUCGGGCCGGGCCGGGCCGAGCCCGGGCCAAAAAACUCUUACCCGAGGCCAGGCCCGUUUUCUAAAUGGGCCUCGUUUUUUGCCUAAGCCUAUUUUUCGGGCCUAUAUUUUUACCCAAACCCUCCCAUUUUUCGGGCUGGCCUUCGGGCCGAGCGGCCCAACUCUAGUAGUAACGUAAUAGUGUUUUUAUUAUUUUAUUAUUUUUACCUUUUUAUUACUAUUAUUAUUAACCUACUAUUAUUAUUUUUAUAAAUAUAGUAUUAUUUUUUUAUAUAUUGUUAUUAUUAUUAGCACGUAUAUUAUUAUUAUUAAUGUGUCAUUGUUAUUUUUUAUUUUAUUAUUACUUUUAUUACUAUUGUUUCUAUUAUUAUUAUUUUCAUUACUUCCAUUAUUAUUAUCGUUAUUUUCUAUUAUCAUUAAUAUGUCGUUUGUUUAUUAUUAUUAUUAUUAUUAUUAUUAUUAACACUAUUAUCAUCAUUAUAUUUAAUUUUUUUUAAAUAUUAUUACCACUAUAUUAUUAUUAUUACUAUUAUUUUUAUUAUCCGUCCUAUUUUUAAACUAUUUCAUUCAAUAUUUUGUUAUACAUGUGUUUAUUUGCUCACUUCCUGUUUAAAUUAAAUUUUCAUUCGAAUUUUUUUUUUAUUCCAUUUUUUUAUCUCAAUAUUAUUUUACUUAUUAUUAUUUUUGUCUGGAUUUUUCAAGUAAAGGCAAUAUUCGGUAAUUGAAAAUUCGAGAAAUCGUGUCCUAACGUACUGGGUUUCAGUUUUUCUUUUGAUCUAAGUAACCGGUUAUCCUUUUAAAUUAAAAUACAUGAGUUUUAAAUAAAAUAAAGGCAAUAUCCCGUAUUUAGAAAUUCGAAUAGUCGUGCCCUAACGUAUUGGGUUUCGAUUUUUUCAUUUGAUCUAAAUAUCCGAAUAUCCUUUUUAAAAUUUAAAUACAUGAGUUUUAAAUGAAAUAGAAGGCAAGCUCAUACUCGAGGGUCGAGGUGUUGUGUCCUAACGUACUGGAUAUAACGUUUUACCUUGAGAUGAAACGGUCCUUGACAUGCGUUUCAAUUCAUCCAAAUACCUUAAAAAAGCAUUAACACUAAGAGAGAUCGUAUUUUAAACUCUUGUCAAAUUUUCAAUUUUCAACAUUAAAACACUGAAAAAUCAAUUAGGUACCAAAUUUGGGCGUGACGAGGGUGAUAACCCUUCCUCGCAUGUAAUCGACUCCUGAACCCGUUUUUCGAAUUUCGUAGACCCAAAAUCAUUGUUUUACUAAAUUAAAAUGUUUUAUUAAAAUGGUCAAUCUUAAGGUGAUCCGACCACACCUCGAAAAAAGAUCGGUGGCGACUCUAAACUUUUGUUUUAAAAAGUCGAUUCCCAUUUUUCAAAAAAUAGUUUCGACAAAUAUUAUAUUGAUUUUUGAUCCGAUAAUUUUAAUGAAUGAUUAGUAAUUAAGGUAUAAGAACUAAAUCGUAAAAAGUUAAUUGCUAUGGAAUUUUAUUUGGUUAAAGGACCAAAUAAACUAUUAGACCUAUUAUUUUAUAUAGAUAAUUAUGAUUAUUGAUAAUUAAACAAAGCUUAAUUAGUUUAAUCUUUAAUUAAUUAGUGUUAAUUAUGGUAUAUAAGUUAAAAUAAAAAGAAAAGAUGACAUUGUCAUCAUAUUUUCAUCUUUUCCUCUCCUCUUUGAUCGUCCAUAGCUAAGGAAAGUUAGGGUUUGAGUUUUAAAGGUUUGAUCUUCAAAUUGGUAAGUGAUUUUCAACAUAUUUCUUAUAAUUUUUAUAUUUUUAAGAUCGCGAUAACUCAAUUCAACUAACUCGCACUUUAUUGCUCAAAAUUGUUUAAGAUUUUAAAAGUUUCUAUUGAUGAAUCUUAAAGCUUUUGAGUACUAAAUUGUUAGAUUUGAAGCUUAGAUAUGAAAAAAGACUAAUUUGUAAACUGAAAAUUGAUUAGUUUUGAGUUUAGGGACUAAAAUGUAACUAUUUAGAAAUUGUCGUGGAAUUUCUAUAAUUAUGAAUUUUAGAGAGUUAUAAAUGGAUGAAAUUGCAAAAUGGAUUGAAAAACAAAGCUUAAAUGUGAUAGAUAUAGUUUCGGUUUUAGGGACUAAAUUGAAUAAAAUGUGAAACUUUAGAGAAGUUGUGAAAGAUAAAAUUAAGUUUUCAUAUGCAUAGAAUUAAAUGUUUUAAGAUAAUUGGAACUGAAAUUUUGAAAUGAAUUAUUAUAUAGAUCAAGAAUUAAAUCAACCAGAAGAUAAAUGUGGAAAAAGAAAAAUUGCGAAGUAGUCCCCUGAGUCGUACUUGUUGCUUUUUUGUUUAGAUAAGUUCGUACGUGAUUUCCCUUGUUAAUACAUAUUAUUGUUGUGUUAAUUAUUACUUGUGAGUUGAGUUGUUUUAAAAUGGCCAUUGUUCAUAUUGAAGGGACUAAAUUGCAAGGUACAGUAUAUGUGCCUAGAGUGAAUAAUUAGAUGAUAUGGAAUGAAUAUGGAUUUUUAUAAUGAUGAAAAGGAUACGAGGAUUGAUUUAAGGCUCGUGUGAACUUAGUAAAUGACUAAGAUACGAAUGACAUGCCAUUAGGGUCUAAAUGGUAACAAGUACUAGUACCAAUGGUUGAGAUGCUACAUGUGUUGUAGAUUCUGCACAACUCGUGUGAGCAGCAUCGUAUAAAGUUCAAAGUUCUGAUUCACAGCUCAUGUGAGCUAGGGGUGAGCAUUCGAUCGAAUCAAAUCGAAAAUUUUCGAGUUAAUCAAGUUUUUGAAUCUUAUUUUAUCAUCCUAACUUUAUUUGAAAUUUUCUCGAAUCGAGUCGAGUGAGAUGGAAUUCGAAUCGAAUCGAAUAUAUUUGUUCGAGUUAAAUUUUUAAAAAAAUGACUCGUUUUUUUAUUUUUAUGUAAUUUUUAAAAAAAAUAUAUUUUUCUUUAAAGUUUUUAAACAUGAACCAAUUACAUAAGGAUAAAAAUCAUAAGAGAAUUUACUAAUUACAACUUGAGCCAAUAAUACAAAAUUAAUUAACUAAGUUUUAAAAAAAUUUCUUAUAAAUUAGUAAACCCCUAACUGCUGUAGGUUUUUUCUUCUUCAAUCAUUGAAGAAAAAUUAGCUAAUUCAUAAGGAUAAAAAUCAUACGAGAAUUUACUAAUUACAACUUGAACUAGUAAUACAAAAUUAAUUAACUAAGUUUUAAAAAAAAAUUCUUACAAAUUAGUAAACCCCUAGGAAACAGUAAUAUCCUUAUGAAUUAAUAAUUUCUUAAUUUAAAUAUUGUAAAACUCUAACGAGAAAAUCAUACGAGUUUCAAGAAAUAAAGCUUCAAUCAAACUGUAAAAAUUGAUGUGAGGUACUUUUACUUCUUUAGAUAACACUUACUAACACAUUACAACAGUUUUUUUUCCAGUAGAUUCAUCAACUAAAUCCAGAUAAAAAAAAAUCAUAUGGGUCUGGGUUUUCCCUUUCCAGAAGUAAAUCCAGAUAAAAACCAUUGAAUCAAAACACAGUCUUCAAGAUUUUGUUUUCCCUUUCUAAAUGGUAAAUCCCCACAAAUUCAGUUUCUUUUUCCUUAAAUGAAUUGUAACCUUCUCCACAACAGUAAACAGGUAAAUGGAGAAGGAAAAUAGAGCGAGCCAAAAAUCAUUCAAUGGAGCGAAAGCGAAACUGAAACAGAUGCAAAUAGAGCAAAUAUAAUUCAAUAAUUCACAAAUGUUUCAAGAGUCAAGACAAACCUUAAAGAUGCAAAAAAUUCGAGCUUAAAAUGGAAGAGAACAAAGUGCCUCUGUCAGAAGGAACAACAGCUCGAUUUGGAGGUAAGGACUAAGGAUUUUGAUUUGAAGCUUUGAAUGAAAUAGAAGAAGAAGAAGGAAGAACCGAAGAAGUGUUUAUUUUAGGGUUUUUUUGAGAAAAAUAGAUUUUAAAAUUUGAUUUUCGUGGAAAUGGUAUGGAUGUUGUUUGUAGAGAAUAAGAAAAUUGAUUUGGGGUUUGGUUUGGACUUUGGAAGAUGGAAUUGGCUGGGGCAUGACAUGGGGGGAUUUUCGGGAGGAAUUGGGUUUUGGAAAAUAAAGUUUUG
RNAcentral lists this long non-coding RNA (82370 nucleotides) under Gossypium barbadense (sea-island cotton). RNAcentral's name for it is "long non-coding RNA (GBAR_LNC005938)". The stretch from base 52534 to 52677 matches the Rfam family "MIR7502 microRNA precursor family". The record is from RNAcentral. Lineage: Eukaryota; Viridiplantae; Streptophyta; Magnoliopsida; Malvales; Malvaceae.